UGUUUUACUCUUUUCUUUAAAUGUAACAAUUUAUUUUCUUUAGGAUUAUAGGAUUUUAUUUUACUAAUUGAGCUGUUAAAUUCUUUCUUUUUGCAGAUUGGAUUGUGUUGCUGCACAUGGAAGGUUGUUGCUGCACAUGGAAGGUUGUUGCCACACGCUAGUUGCUGCCACUAUUGGAAUUAAUUGGAAGAUUGGGCUGACAGAGAAGCACUUGGCAUUUUGGGCCGUUGAUGGAAUAAAGCUCGCUUAAACAAAACGCUGGCAUGGGAUAAACUUUAAAUGGAAUGGUGCGUUUCAGCUACAGUUGCUUGGGGGUCAGAGAUUUGUAAAUCAUUUUGGCAAAAUGAAGGAAGCCCUCGAGCAUUUGAGAAAGAGAAAGGAAACCCAGCAGCUAGGGUUCGUGAAGAAAAGAGGGGUUCAACUAGGGUUCGUGAAUCAGCGAUGAGAAGAAGAAGAGAGGCAAGCCAAAAUCUCCAAGGCCCAAAGGAGACCAGCCCAAGAUGUUGAUCAAACCAGUGACGAUUGAAGAGUAGGGUGAAGCAGAGUUUGUUGAAGAUCGAUUGAGAAGCUUCCGAGUUUGUUUUCAGUUCUUCCCCCUUUUCCUAUUUCUUUCUUUUUCUGUUUUAGACUUGCCCUAUAUAAAGGGGAGUUUUGUAAUGAGAAUAAUACGUGCAUUGGGUGACAGGCAAUGUACUUAGACUAGGUUUUCACAUCCUCUCACUUUAGAGUAGAUUUCUUUACAGCUUUCAUAGGGUAGAAACUUUGCUUCUUACACUGGGGUUCUUGGAUUUUCCAUUGGGUGACAGACAACGGGGUUUUGAUAAACUUUGGUAUUCUGUAUUUCCAAUUUUAUGUUUUCGCAAUGAGAAUUUUAAAUAUGAUUUAGUUUACAACUUUACUUGUUCAUGAGUUCCAUUUUCAUUUCCUGCACUUGCGUUUACUGUUCUAGCAAUUUUAUUUUGUUAAUUCUAUAUUGUGAUUUCAGAUCUUUGUUUACUGUUAUGAUUUCUAAACAUUGUUUCUAAGUUUUCAGCAUUUUAUUACAUUUAGAUGAUUGUUUUAGGAACCUGUUUCAUUAUAUUUAUGUUUCUCGUACUUUUAAUUGGUGCUUUUGAAUUUGAUAUUUUGUUAAAGUCGUCUUUUUCCUUUUAUGUGUUAGCUUUAGGUUCCUAUUAAGUAGAUAAUAAUCAUAUUGUGCUACAGUGUUUAGAUGUUUUGAUUUUAGCAAAUUUUAGGUGGAUUGCUUAAUCUAUUUGGUAUUGUGAAUGAAAAUAUGCAAUAUUCAGUCUCUAUAUUAGAGUCUACAAGACCCCAAAGUGGGCUUGUUUAACCAAGAUGUCUUCUUGAGACAGAUUGAUAUUCACAUGUAUCUAAUAGGCCAAGAAAUAAAUUCUGGAGUUGUUUUGAUAUGAGCUUUUGAUUUUAAAUGCUUUUACUCAGUUUUACAGAUUUAUACAUCAUUUGCAUAAUAAAUUUUGAUUUCAACCUUUGCCCAUUAUUCUUUAGUUCUUCAUCUUUUAUUGUGUCAAUUCGGUUUUGAUCUUUACCAUAUCAUUUACCAAUUAGGUUUUGAUUUUCUUUACAUAUUACUCUUUGCAUUUUUAAUCAUGUGUCACUUCUCAUGCAUUCUACCUUUAGUUUCUUAGAUUUUUUUAGUUUCUUUUGAUAAGUCACUUUAGUUUAGGUAUUCCAUUUAUCUUUCUUUAGCAUAGAUUACAGUCUUAUUUUUUCUUCCUUUGCAUCAUUUUAUUUUAGGCAUCUUGCAUUCAUUUUAGAUAAAAUCAUGCAUUGCAUUAUCUUUUAGUUUUUUUUCAUAUUAGGUUUCAUUUUACAUUUUAUUUUCCCCACCCAGUUUUAGUAAAUACAUAAUUAGGACUUAAUUAUAUAAUUCUUAGCUUAGAAAGUACCAAGUCCACGGAUUAAUACCUUAGGUUGCCCCUAUGCUACAUUAGUGGGGAAUUUUGGUUUGUUGAGAUUUUAGGCGACAAAAAUCCUUUCAACAGGGGCUCUAAACAAAUUAAAGAUUUAUAUUUCUUUGUGGUUUUAGGGAUUUGAUGUGGAGGUUUGGUUUGACGAAGGAGCGUGAAAAGGGAUUUCUCGACUUGGAUGAAGGUGGUCUAUGGUGGUGUUUUGGGUGGCGUUGUGUUUCUGGUUUGCAAGUUGUGGCCAUGGAUGUUUCACGGUGGAGCUAACGAUGAAGGGAAUGAUAAUGGUUUUGGGGUUUUCCAUGGCUGCGCGAGGAGAUUGGUGGUGGCGACUCAAGGAAAAGAAGACGUGAGACCAUGGUGCUUGUUGAACGCGAAGGUCAGUUGAAACAGAAAGCUUGAAACAAGCUAAACGCUAUCUGUCUAAAAAGAGACAAAACCAAAAGAAGCGUUUACUUGACUAAACAAUACCAUGAGCUUAAACAAUACUUCGUCCAAUGAUGAAGUCUCUAUACAACACUUGGUAUCUUUAGAAAAGAGCUUAAUUGUAAAAUUCUACUGAACAAUAGAAAAUAAAAAAAAGAAAAAACUUUGUUGUCUUGAUCAAGCAUUAAAUAACAUUAAAUGCUUAACGUUCAAAAACAAAAAAAGUGAUAAGAAAAGACAUAUUUGCUGCAAGCACAAUUUACUCUACUCAUUGCAGAUAAGCUAUUAAACAUGCAUCCACAGAGCUACACAACAAAUAACAAAAGUGCACGUUAGAGACAAAGGAGAUAUUCACAUAAUGUUCUUCACUUGAAGCUAUACCUAAAAGGAACGUACAACCUACUUCAAGCAAAGUACUUAAAAAGCAUGCUUGUUCUGAUGAGUUGACUUACCUAAUAAUUGUUGUACAAAGAAGAAAGAGAAACACGAGUAUCAAGGCUAAAAGCUUAGUCUAACAUACAUAUACCUAUGAAGCCUUUAAAUAGAAGAACUUCCAAAAAAAAUUAAAAGAAUAGUCAAGUGUAAGCUUACAACAAAACAUUCAUCCUACAAGCUUUGGAGAGAGAAGAAAAGAAAGAGCUCAAGAAAAAUAAUACAUGUGAGCUGAAGAAAAGAAAAAGAUAAAAGAAGAGCAAAAGAAAAAAGAAAUACUCUCAAGCUUCAUUAUUAUAUUGCUUACUUUGUAAGAGAAAAGAGAGAAACACCUGCAAGUGUUUAGACUGUUUUGUAUUGUAAUAACAUCUUCUCUACGAGAGAUAUAGUCUGAAUUGGUUGUAAGCAAUCGUUGAUUGCAAUUCUGAAGAGAAUGAAAACACUUACAGUUGAACUUUGUUUGAGUUGAGGAAUCUAGGGGUGAUACUCUAGUACCAGGAGUGGUUCGAGUACUCAAAGAAAAUUUCGCCUAAGGUUGCUGACUACUUAAUCCAACAUCCCUUCCUACUCUUAUACUCAGAACUUACCUGCCUUACGCAUGUAGUUCUCCCACAUUACCUACACACCUCUUAACCUAAAUCGACCUUACCCAACCAUCAUUCUUUCACUCCUUCCUUGCCUUAUGAUUCACCCAUUCUAUCCUUCAUCCCAUCAUCAUAUUAUUCUAUUGUUAUAAUAUGAUCUGAUGUGGACUAAUCCCAUUUAUCAGGUUGUGAUGUCCUUUCUCUCCUUCCUUUUUGAUGUUUAGCAAAUAAGGGAGAGAAUGGAGAAAGAGUAUACACAUUAACAUCUAGGAGCAUGCUUAGGGGGAGUACACCAGAAGUUAGGAUAACAUAGAAUCAAUGUGAGUUUCUCCAAAUUCCUAGAGUUCAUCUUAGGAGUCCAUGUUUACAUUCAUGUAAUUUGUUUUGUGUUUUAAUAAAAUUUUAUUGGUUGCUGUUUAUUUGUUGGUUGUUGUGUAUUUGUUUACCUAUUCAUUUUAUCUAUUGUUUAAAUCUUCGCUUAUCAUUCUUGUCUUUAUACGCGAUAUUAUUUCUUUGACUGUGUCCACUAAUAGUAUGCAAAAGAUAAAAACAGUAAACGAUGUAAAAUACACAAUGAACCAAAACACACAAAACUCAACUAAAUUCUGAACUAAGGAAGAUUAUAUUGUUUUCCAACAUAGGUUUUUGAAAAAUCAUUUGAGACUUUUCAGUGUGCUUUCUAAAGGCAUCGUUUGAAACUUUUAUCAACUAAGUAUAUUGAGAGUUUAUUUGAUUAUCAUCCAGUAAGACUUUUAUUGGCGCAUUUAGUGGUGCAUCUUGUUUACCAUAUGCAUUUAGCAUGAUUCUCAUUUGAUAUGAGUUUUUAAAUUAUUUUAAGAUGUUUUUCCAAACACAUCUUUUCAACCCUUCAAUUUUUCUUGCCAUACCAAUAGUUUGUUUGAUCAUUGUUUAGUAAUGUUUGGCAAAGUACUUAUUGAUUUAUUAACUAGAGAAGUCGUUUAAAGAAACAUUUUACAAAAUCCUUGGUUCCUGGCAGUUUUCUUAAGUCUUGUUUUUCCAUUUGUGUUGCGAGUUUUAGAAGGCUAACUCUUCAUCGAUCUUCUUUUGUUAGUACUUUUCGUUAAUCCAUAGGAUGUGUUAAGAUACUAGUUGAUUUUGGUUGUUCUCCUUGGUAGCCUUUCUUUUCUUCCUAUAGUGACAUUAGCUGUGUAACUUUUCUUGCUAUAACAUUCUUUAGAUUCCUAGUGUUUUGUUAUUAGAAUUUUUUUUAUGAGUUAAAAGUUUUAGCUAUAUUAUAUGAAUUUUUUGUUGUGCUCUUAUGUUGUUUCAAUUUUAUUCCAUUGUAGUUUUACUCACAAAUUUGUAUUAGACUUGUUAUGUAGAUGCUUUCUUAUAUAUACAUUGUGUUUCUAUGAUGCUUUUCCAACUUUUAUUGUUUUGACCAUUGUAACAUGUUCUUUCUUGUAUAUUUGAGGACUUAAGACUACACGCAGGACUACUUCAUUUAAUGUUGUUUGUUAAACUUCAAAACCAAAGAUGUCAUACACAAUCCUAGUCUUUCUCUCAAACAUGCUUGUCUUAACAUUUCAGACUUUUGUGGUCGCUGAAAACCUGAAAUCUCGCUCCAUAGAGGUAACGUUGUCAAGUCUUCAAAGCAAAUACCAACAUUGUCAACUCUAUAUCAAGUGUAGGAUAAUUCUUCUCAUGCACCUUCAACUGUCGAGCUGCAUACGCCACUAGUUUCCUAUUCUGCAUCAAAACACAACCCAAACCUUGAUAUGAUGCAUCACAUUACACCUCAAAAGCCUUGUUUGUGUAUGGAAUAAUCAAUACCAGAGCAGUUGACAACCUUUUUUCAUCUCCUCAAAACUAGCCUCACACUGAUCUGUCCAAAUUUGGUCCUUACGCAUCAACUAAGUCAAAGGAUCCCUCCACAAACCUCCGAUAAAUUUCAUAUAUCGAGAAACUGAAAAUAAUAAGAAAAGAACUAUCAAUUGGUGUCCAAAUAAGCAUAAGUAAUUUAGUACUUUCCCUUAUACGUUAUUUUCCUAGUUAUAUAAUUGAAUUGAAGUUAUGUAUUUGAUAAUACCUUAAUAGAUAUUAACAAUAAAAAACUAAAUAAUUUUUACUUUUACUCUCUUUUCUUACAUUUUGUUUUCCAGUCGCCUCUUUCUUUGCAGAAAGAACAAAGGAUCGGUUGAUAAUAAGAUAAAGAAAUCCAGAGUGUUUUAUGAAGGAAAAAAAUACGGAAGAAGUUUUCAUUUCUAAUGACACUCUUUUGUUUUUAUUAUCACGAACGUUUGUUUUUUUUUUUUUUUUUUUUUUUUUUUUUUUUUUUAAAUUAAAAGAAUUACAGUGAAGGAUAGAAAUCAUUGUAAACAUUAAAAUAUUUAUUUAAUUAUAAGACAAUUACUUUUAAAACUUAUGACAAUUUUAAUCGUAGUUUCCUUAAAACUAGUUAAUUCAAAUGUAAAACAUUAAUGAUUAAUGAUAUUAGGAUCAACUCAUGACAUGAAAUUUACUCAGUUUUUAACACAUUACAAAUUUAAAAAUAAACAAUUAAAAAAAAUAUAUGAAAAAAUAUUUUAGCCAUAUUAAUAUAAAUUAUACGGAUGUAUCAAUUUCAACUUUCCCAAAUGAUAAUGAUUUUAUGAACUAAAUGAUUUAACAUUUAGUUUAAAUAUAAAUUAAAAAACAUGAUAAAAGAGAAAUGUAUGUGUGUGGUUAAGCAUUUCUGACUAAAAAAAAUUAGUAGUUUCUGAGAGGGAAGGGCAAAUGCGUCAAUACGCGAGCCUCAUCCUCUGCUCCCGCUUCUUUUCACUAGAAGCACACGAAAAUGAUCACUAAGCCGUUCUUUAUUUUUUUUUUUCUUGAUGUAUUUUCCGGAUAAAAUGCCAUUCUGAAUAUCUCGGAAAUUCGUAGCCUUCAUACUUCCGUGGAGUUUAGGUGUUGCAGUUACAGUCAUCAGAACAACCAAAGUUUCUUCCAUGUCCAAACACUGAAAUGGCGUCCAUUUCGACGUGCAUCACCGUGAUCCCCAGUUGUGGGCUCCGGCGGCCACAAUCCUUCUUUCUUUCCAGUUUGGCGAAGCGCCCGAAGCAAAAAAUACCUUUCCCUUGCGUGAAAAGUCCGUUGAUUGGGAGAGUCUCGAGAAGGGUAUUGGAUUCUAGGGUUUUGGUGGCGAGGCCGGGGGGCGUAGUGGAAACCGAUAAGGUGCCGUCGGAUGUGAGGAAGCGAACGAUGGAGGCGGUGGAUGGAUGCGGAGGGAGAGUGACCAUUGGGGAUGUGGCUAGCAGAGCUGGCCUUAACUUGAAUCAAGCUCAGAAGGCUCUUCAAGCUCUUGCCGCUGACACUGAUGGCUUCUUAGAGGUUGUUACUUUGUUUUCCUUUACAUUAGGAAGCUUCCAGUACCAUAUGUGAUAGGAUGAUCCUAAAGAGCCCAAAAAGAAGGAAAAUUAAAUGGCUUAAGGAUUUUAUAGUAUGGGUUUAGAAUAUUACAAAUUUAUAAUAUUAUUAGUUUAUUAUAUUUUAAUUUCCUAUAGUUAGAUAAUGACACUUGUAGGGCAUAUUUUAGGUUAUAUGUGUAUUUUUCUUACCUAUCGAAAAUUUAAAUGCUUGUAUUUAUUUUCCUUAUAGCUUUAGUGGUAGAUUUUAGGCUAUUGUAGAAUAGUGCUCAAAACUUCUUAUCAAUGUGGGGGAAAAAGUGCUGCAGUUAGAUCGUUAUUAAUUUGUUUCCUUGGUUUCCUAUCUAUUGUACACUCCGAUUAUGGUUAAAUUUUAGGAAUAAAGUUCUGUCUGUGCUACCGUGGUAUCUGUAGGUUUCUGAGGAAGGUGACGUUCUCUAUGUAUUUCCAAAAGAUUAUCGAUCAAGGCUUGGUGCCAAGUCGCUUAGGAUUAAAGCUGAACCCUUUUUUGACAAGGCCAAGGUAUGAAGACUAUUGUCUUCUCUGUACCAGUUGUUGCUGAUGUUUUAUCGCUUGAGUGGUGUUGUAUAACUUUGACUUUGACAGGCCGCAGUAGAAUACUUGAUAAGGGUAUCUUUUGGGACAGCGCUUAUUGCAUCCAUUGUUAUUGUUUACACUACAAUAAUUGCUCUUGUAACUAGCAGUAGAAGGUAUUCCAUAACUUUAAUGUCGAUAACUAUAGUUUUUCUUGAAAAAUUUAGUAAUGUGAAUGAGGGAAUGGUGUUCUUUAUUUACAGUGAUGACGAUAAUCGUGGAAGGCGUGGAGGCAGGUCAUAUGAUUCAGGAUUUACUUUCUACUUCAAUCCUAUUGAUUUGUUCUGGUAAUUCUACUUUGUAGUAUUGGAGUUGCAUUUUAUACAAAAUUUCUCAAAUAUUUUUCCUUCUUGGUUCUCAAGGUUUUUCUGCCAGUUAGAAUUUAAAAAUUAUGUGUUUCUGGUUGCUUAAUGAAGUUUAGUAAGUUUUCAUGUGCCUAAAAAUAAAGAAGAGGAAGACGAGAGACACACAAUUAAGUUAGGGUCAUCACUUACAUGUGCACAUUUAAUAUUGGUGAUGGUGAUGCAAGGUAGUUAAAUUAGGUUUCUUUCACCUCUCCUUUUGAUAUGAACCUUAAGAGAACCACACUACAAAAGCUUGUAUAGAUGGAUAUAGAGUGAGAGAGAGAGCCGAAGACCUUAUAAACCCAAUAGUAAAAUCUCACACUUCCUAUUUGGGACUCAAGUCCCUUAUCUCCCAUGUUAUUGAUAUCGCAUAACAGAAAAUACCGUAACCCAAAUAUCCUUUAUAGAAAUCUAUCAGAAGCCAUAAUAGGUUUUUGUUAGAAGUGAGUUUUAGGCCUAACUCAACCCCACAAAACCGGCUUGUAAGGUGAAGUCUGCACCCCACUUAUAUAUUAUAAAUUGGCCUUAUCUUUAUCCGAUGUGGGACUUCCAACACACCCCCCUCCCGCCGAUGUAUAUACAUAUCGAGCGUGAGACUAGAUAUUAAUGGGUGGUCCGAUAACGGUCCAAUAGCGGGUGGAACAAUCUGCCCAACAAAUAUCGCUAGGAUAGACUCUAACCAUAGCUCUGAUACCAUGUCAGAAGUGGGUUUUAGGCCUAACUCAACCCCACAAAACCGGCUUGUAAGGUGAGGUCUGCACCCCACUUAUAUAUUAUAAAUUGGCCUUAUCUCUAUCCGAUGUGGGACUUCCAACAGUUUUGAUAGAUUUCUUUAGUAAAGAUAUCAAUCUAACACGCAAAACAACACUCACACAGAUAAGAGGAAAACGUCUGUAUAUUGCUUUUGGUAAACAAGAAAACAAUGUACACCUCCAAAACUAUCAAGGGAACAAUUUCCCUCCACAGGAUACAAGGUCCGUACACAAAGAAUUAACCAAGCUAACCUGUUACAAGGCCCCCUGUCUUCUUAUAAAGGCAACCCAACCAAAUAAGUACUGCUAACAGCACAAAACCCCCCUUAAUCGCCUAACCACCUAAUUAAUUUCUUUUCCUCCUCUCAUAUACUCUUAAAACCUUAUCAGGUUUUGCCUGCCAAAAAAAUGCAAUAUAUGUGUGUAGAUAGAUAGAUAAUAAUAUAAAAAUGCAGAAAUAUUGUUGUUGUUUGAAAGUAAUGAAAGCAACCUAAUAAUAUUAAGUCUAAAAUUUCAAAUAGCAAUAUCAUUAUAACCAUUGGCCACCAAGUUCAAGACAAAAUAAUGACACAACUAAAGAUAAAUGUUCUAAAUUUAAUUCACAACUUCUCCUAACAACAAAGCAUAAGCCAUAUUCAUCCUCAACUUCAAAUUGAAUCUUCAAUUUGCUUUCCUUCUUCAGAGCAUGUAUAUUGAGGGGUUUCAACCUUUUAGAGAACGAAUAUUGAGUAGAACAAAGGGGUUUCAGUUUUUUAGAGAAUGCUAGUCCUAUGGUCAUUGAUGCACCAUGAUUUAGUUCCAUUCUGGUUGUUUGCUGUGUCCUUAUUUUCUUCUUUGAUUGUUUGCCAUGCCAUUGCUGUGCGGUCGUGUGCCUUUGCUUGUGUUGGUGGUCUGCUCUAUCGUAGUGGCCAUCCUGUGCUGCACGGGUUAGGGUACAAAAUAAUUUUUCAUGUGAGGUGAAGUUUAAGGGGUCUACUUUGUUUCUAUGCUGGCCUUUUGGACCUCAUUGUCCAACAACUUUUUGUUUUAUAUAAAACAUAAUAUAUCAUAUAAUAAUAAUAAUAUUAGAGAAACAUAAAAAAUAAUUUGAAAUAUAUAAUAUGAUAAACUAAUAGUAAUAACAAUAAAUUUUCAGUAAGAAAAUGUAAAAUGUUAUUUAUAAUGUUAUAUAACGUUGAAUUAUUAUUGUUGAAAUAAGUAAUUAGUGCAUUGGGAACUAUUUAUCUGCUGUAAUCAUGAUUAGUACCUAGUACCUAGAAGUCUAGUGCACUCUAUGAGUUGUACCUAGGAAUCUAGGGUAGUCUUUUGAUCUUUCAUCUUCCUUUAUAUCAGUUUCUAUCAUUAUAAAUACAAUAUCACAAGAGGGAUCUUGUAAGCCCUCCAAUUUUAUAUUCUCUUUUUAUUCUCAACUGUUAUAUCAUUUAUAAAUAUUUUAAUAUUUUUUAUCCAAAGUAAACUCGUAAGAGUUUAUGAUCUGAGUUUACAAAGUUCUUUGGUUCUUUGCUGCAAUACCAAACCAUGUAACUGUAUACUAUAAAGGCGAAACAUUUUUCUUAGCCUGUGUGGAUAAAUGUGGAAGAGUAGGGGAAGUUGAUUUGCUUUUUGUGUAUGGUUUAGAUUGAACUAAAUAUAUUUUCAUUCCUCCAAUUGCAUUCUCAGUUUGUAGCAGAUGUAUCUAGUUUCCUGUAUGUAUAAUCACAUUUCAUUUUGAGAGAACUUUUUGGUGUCAUAAUUUAAUUUUUAUACUAUUGAAGGUACUGGGAUCCAUAUUAUUAUAGGAGACGAAGGCUACAAGCUGAUGAUGACAAGAUGAACUUCAUUGAGUCGGUGUGUGAUGUAAUUGAAAUAACAUGUCAUCCUCCCACCCCACUUUUUUGGUUUCUAAUGAAGAUAAGGACUUUUUCAUUUUGGUGUAGGUCUUCUCCUUUGUAUUUGGAGAUGGUGAUCCUAAUCAAGGAAUUGAAGAAGAGAGAUGGAAGUUGGUAAUAAUUGAGGACUGAAUUCAGUGGUCCGUUGCCUUUGAUGAUUUUUUUUUUUUUUUUUUAUUGUUUCAUAUUUGGUACUAUUUUCCAUUUUAUGUUAAAAUGUUAACUUUUUUCUUUUUGCAAACUUUCCUAUAUCUUUACAUGUUUAUUUCCUCUAAUCCACUUUACUCAUCUGAUGUACAGAUUGGGCAAUACAUAGCAUCCAAUGGUGGUGUUGUUGCAGCUGAAGAACUUGCUCCAUAUCUUGAAAUAGAUUCUACGGAGGGUUUUAAGGUAAUUUGAUAUAUGUUUGGUUGUGUCUACAUACUUAGACAAGCAUAUUUUAUGUGAUAAAUGGAAGCUAAAAGGAGUUGCUUUUGUCAGCACGUGGAAAUUGAACGCACAUAGAGCUGGAAUUAAUAUGUAACUUAACAAUCUAUAAUUUGUUUAACAAGGGUAUUUAUUGAAGUGGGACUUAGAGACCUCAUAAUUCACACGUCUUGUGUCUUGGUAUCUUGCAGUGACCACACCCAUCCUUGUUCUUCUGAGUUCCUCUUUUGCAUGGCCAGUUGCACUCUUUUUUCUCCAUUCCUUGAAAUAUGAAAAUCUGGAGAGAGGACUAAAAUCAUAAAUAAAAUAUUUUAGCAUGGAAUAUAACAAAUUUCCUAUUUAAACAUGGAUGCUUGAAAAUAAAUUGAAUAGGGUAACACAAUUUAUAAACUUAAAAGCUUGCAUAAGGUGUAUACUGCUUAAUAUACUUAAAAGUCACAACAUAACUUCAAUUAUGAAAAUGCACCCCUAUUAUCCUUAGUAGCAUCAGCUCCAUUUGAAGACAUUUUUAGCCAACACAACUCUGCAUACCCAAACCUAGCUUUUUAACAUAGCUGUUAAACACAGCUAACCAGAACACUGAAACAUCUGAAAAAAUGCCCAAAGGCUGACAAACUUCAGUGCAAAAGCAAAAUCAGAAAGAGAAAACAAGGGAAUAUUGUUAGGAUAAAAGAAGGGGGAGUUAGUUAUGAUAGUCUGAAUAUUGAGUUAGUCUGUCAGUUUGAGUGGUUGGUUAGAUGUAAAUAGGGGGAGAAGGAUAGGAGAGAUUCACAUUUGGGGUUGUCAUUGUAAGUUGAUGUUAGAUCUCUUUGAUCAAGAAGUUUAACAGUGCACUCCACACACACCAGAACUAACAGAAACAGUAAAAGAAAGUAUGUUUAUUGCUGUAUAAUGAAUGAAACAAACCCCAAUACACCAAGGAAGCCUCCCUUCCUCCUCUGGAAGAAUAAUCCAGUCUAGACUUUACAAAUUCCAAAGCUAACUACCUGUACAAUUAACUCCUAUAUUUAUAGUAAAAGACUCUAACUGUAAACAACCCACUUGAUGGGCAAUGGGUCUAUCUACAUGGUCAUGGGGCCUUCCGUUGAGACUCAAAUCAAUCACUUGAUGUCAUACGAUAGCAUGGACCAGAGGUAUUGGUUUUUGAUUUGAGGGUUGGAAACCCAAGACAACUUCUACGAGGACCAAAAGCAAUAUUUGCUCAUUUUACAUGGACAACGGACAACAUAUUUGAGCUCUGCUUUUAUAUAUAUGAUGUCAUUCUUAAUUUUUAACCUUGUAUCUUUGGGUGGUGACAGGAUGACGAAUCCUAUAUCUUACCUGUACUUUUACGAUUUGAUGGUCAGCCUGAUGUUGACGAGGAGGUAUUUGAGACACUAACUUCUGCCUUUCCUUUGUUUCCUCUCAAAUGGUAUCUGCAAGUUGGUCCGGUAUAUCACUCCUUAGAAUUACUCUGUGGCCUAUUAAUAGUUGGCACACAUUAGGAAUUUCUUUAAGGACUAAUAUACAGGAUCAACUUGCAAAUACCAUUUGAGAUGAGACUUACAAUUGUUAUUAGUUGCUUUGUUUUUACACAAGACAUGGAUCUCUUAUACAUAAUAAUACCACAUGCUACUCAUUUAUAAAACAUAUUGUAGCUAUUGGUUUCUGCUGAGAAUUAUUUGUUCGCCUUAUUUCUCCUCUUUUUAUAUAUACUUGCAGAUUGCUUGUUAUGCAGGGAAAUAUUCUGUAUAGGUUUCCAUCUCUGCAGAGGACAGCUUCUCAAAAGAGUAGGAGGAAAGAAUACGUUGGAAGGAGAUGGGCAGAUUGGGUUGGAAUUGAUAAAUUUUUCCAAGAGAAAAAAUGGCAGUUCAGGUUUUGUAUUUGUAUUUUUUCUAUCCAGUUGUGGUUAUCCAUAUGUCCAUAUAUAUUUAUUAAAACAUAACUGUAGUGGUUGUUCUAUUGCAGUAAAACUGGCACGUCUGAGAGAGCAAUGGCCAUUGGUCUAGGUGGCCUUAAUCUGUUUGGAGUCAUUAUUCUCGGAACCAUGUUGAAGUAAGUUCUUCAGAUGACGCAUUGCAUCAUUUGUUAGUUUUUCAAUUUUUUUCUUGUUUCAGUGCCCUCACUUCUGUUUUUCUUUGAUCAAAAGAGAUAUGGCAGUUGCACCCAGUAGCUUCAUUAAAUUUGUAGCCGACAUAUUUCCUCUUCUUCAGGUACUAACUAAUAUUUCUAUGUUCAAGCAACUAGAUUCUUCAAUAUUGAAAAAGAGUUAUAAAUUGUCUUUUAGAAGGAACAUUUUUAUAUUGGUUGAUGAUAUUGUAAUUUUUGGGAAUUUGAUGGCAAUUUAAUUGCUGCAAAUUUAAGAUUAGAAAAUGAUGGGGUGGGUGGUUCAUGUGAACAUGGGAGUGGUUACUUUCUUCAUACCUUUGUUAUUUAUCAAGAAAGAAAAAAAAAUUGAAGAUGAAGAAAAUUGUCGUAGUACAGGUAAAUAAAAUGACUAAUAAAAUGCCUUCCACCUUGUUGAGUAUGGUGAAAUAUUAUAAGUGGGAUUAAUCUCUCUUGUAUUGAAUAUACACAUAGGAUAUUAUAUUUAUAAUAGAAGAAAUAUGGAUUAAGUCCAAAAUACAAAUAAAAAAUAAUAACAAAUUAACUAAAUAUAAAAGAUUAAGAUAAGAUAAAGAUAAUAUAUCUAACACACCCAAACACUUUGAUAGGGUUUUAAAAGUAUAUGAGAGGAGGAAAAGAAAUUAAUCAAAAGGUUGUAGGUUGUUAGGCGGUUAGGAGGCUUGUGAGGUAGUUAGAAGUUGGUUAGCUGAUGGGGUUGCCUUUAUUAGGAGGCAGGGGUGUCUUGUGACAGAUUAGCUAUUGUUAAUUCUUUUGUGCAGACAGGACCUUGUUUCCUGUGGAGGGAAAGUGUUCCCUUGAGAGUUUUGGACGUGUACAUUGUAUUCUUUGAUUACAAGAAUAAUAAUCAGUACUUUUCGAGUAAUCUGGUGUGUGUGAGUGCUUUGUUUGGAGAGUGAUUGAUUUCUACCUAAAGAAAUCUAUCUCACUCCCAUGAUCACCUCUCUUUUUCCUAACACCUCUUACCAAUGUUAGACUUUUGUAGAGAUCCUGCAUCUACUAGAGAUAAGAUAGAUUUAUAAUUUAUAAGUGAAUGUAAACCUUACUUUAUAAGAUAAUUUUGUAGGAUUGAAUCAUACUUAAGUCUACUUCUUACGAAUCCUUAUAUUACCCACACUUCUGAUGACAAGGUACCACGUCCUUCGUCAUCCUUGAUGUGUUACAAGAAGGCAUCAUUACACCUAGCACCAACCCUUUCUAUUCACCAACACAUGGUACUUGUAUUGAUUACAAAGCACUGAGUGUUGUUUCAAUCAAGAAUAGAUUUUCUAUACCCUCUAUUGAUGAUCUAAUAGAUGAGUUAGGCCUUGCCACAAUUUUCUAGAUUGAUCUACCCUUUGGAUACCACCAAAUCCAAGUGCAUCAUCGAGGGCAGGCACAAAACUACCUUUCAUACACCGGAACAACAUUACAAAUUUUUGGUAAUGUUGUAUCUCAAAAAUAUUCCCUCCACUUUUCAGUCGGCUGUGAAUCAUUUACUCAAGCCAUAUUUAUGCCAAUUAGUCUUGGUUUUCUCAUGUUCCCUCCCAUGUCAAACAUUUAGACUUGGUUUUGAUGUUAUUAUCCCCUAACCGAUAUUUUUGCUAGGUUCUUAAGCAGUUGAGCUGUUAAUUUAGUACAUUACCUAGGACAUUUCAUUUCAUCAUUUCAUCAGCAGGUGUAUCUCUAGGUCAAGAAAAGGUUCAAAAUUUCCUUGGCUUGACUGGCCACUAUCUUCAUUUUGUCACUCAUUUUUCCCUCACUGAUCUCCUUUGACCAAAUAAGAUUACAUGGACUAUUUAGGCCACCCAAUCCUUUAAAGAUUUACAAUGCUAACUUUUCUGAACCAACCUUGCUUGAAACAAACACUUGCCAUUGGUGUAGCCUUGAGUCAUGAUGGGUUCCCUUGACUUUUUUCAGCAAAAAAUUUGUGCUCCGAUCUUGAAUUAGCUUCACUCUACACUAGGGAAAUGUUCGUCAUAAUUGAAUCUGUCAAAAAUGGGAGACAAUAUUUGUCAGAGUAUGCUUUCCACAAUUGUAUAAAUCAUGAGACUCAAUUCCCUUUCAAUUCAAACAGACAUAAUGCAAGACAACAAAAGUGCACUUCUAAAUUACAAUGCUUUCUCUUCAUAUUUUCUACCAACCUAGUAAAGCAAAUCUUGUGAUGGAUGCACUUUAGAAAAGGUUUCGUACCCAUUUUUGUCUCCAUCUCCUCCCUGGUUCUCAAGCAUCAUGAAUUUUAUACCACCACCACAUGGGGCAAUAAUUUCAUUAGCAAAUUACAUCUCCAAUAAAGCCAUAAACACAUGUUUUUUCUAUGAUGAUGUGUGUUCAUACCUAAGUACAUGCAUACUGUGCUUUAUAUCAAAGUUCCAUUCCACCUUGACAAGCUAACAUCCUUGUACCAAACCCACUGUUGCAUGUCUUGCGUGAGGUAAAUCUUGUGAUUAUAUUUAUUAGCAAUGUGUAAAUAUUGUGAUUAUAGUUAUUAUUAGCCUUGUUUAACAUCAAUGUCUCAUACUUUGUAUGGUGAUAUUUGCAGAUUUAUGCUGCUUCUUUCUUUGCAAUUCCUCUUUUCCGGUGGUUUUUUAUUCGGAAAAAGAAUGAUGAUAUUGAAAAAAGAAAUAAAGCUAGGGAGCAGUGUGCACGACUUCUUGAAUUACCUGACACUUCACUAAGGCAGAAGGUAUGGUUUUUGAAAGUCAUCUUGACCAUAGAGUAUAUCGACAUCUUUAUCUCCUAUAUUUUAUUUCGUAUAAAAUUCAAGUGAAUCUUUCUUUAAAUUUAUGAAGGCAACCUUGUGUUUGUGUAUGGAAACAAAAUGAAGUAGCAAGAAAAUGUUGGACCUGUUUUAGACCUUCAUUUGUUGCUUUAUAUAUUUCUAAUUACUCUGGGCUGUCUUUUAUAAUAAAGUGUUGCCUCAUUUUAUUGUUUACAACAAAACGAGGAUGUGAUUGAAUUUUGGAAAUGUUUCCUUGAAUGCAUUGUGUAUAUUAGCGCUUCCAAUCUCAUUUCUGUAUUAUUUUUGGAUGUUGUUGCUUAUAUAAAUGAUUUCUGGAUCUGCUCUUGUGUUGUUUGAGGGGGUGGAAGUUUGGAUAGGGGAUUGCUUUUCUCAGGCAUAAUGUCCCUGAGAAAUUCUUUUUCUGGCUUUCAGCUUUUCAGUGCCCGGGACAUGGCCCAAAAGACAGUCAUAGGAAAGGAUCAAAUUGUGUAUAGCACUGACAAGGACUUACUUGAGCAAGAUUACGAAGCUCUUGACUGGGAUAAAAAAUUUCGGGAGCUUGAGAGGUCCGAUUAAGAAGGGUCAACUGUUAACCCGUUAAGCAGGUAAAUUGUUUAACUUCAAUGCAUUUCAUACGUUAUUUUGAUGGGAAAUGCAUCACAGGGUCUACAAGUUAAAAGCUAAUUUUUAGCAAAAUGUUUCCGUGUAUUUAGCAAGGAGCGUGAUAUUGUAGACUUCUUAACACGUGUUCAAUUCUGAUUGAUUAAAAAAAGUCAAUGUAUUUGAUUGUAAGUAUUUUUGUCAAAUAAAUGAAAUUAGGUGAUAAAUAUAAAAUAAUAUGAAAAUGUCUUUAUGUAUGAUUUAUUUUUUCUUUACAUUUGAUUUUGUUUCGUAGACGAUAAUGUAUUUCUAAUAGUUAUAAUUUUAAGCUUUAGUUAAUUUUAAAUUCAUAUAAUUUUUUGUUUAAAUACCAAACGUUUUAUUAAAAUAAAAAUAAAUGUAAAUAGUUUGAUAAAAGUACUUUUUUUGGCUUUAACGAUCCAAUAUUUAUUUUAGUUUGUAGGGGUGGCCUCAAGAAACUAUUGUGGUGGUAGCGAGGGUGUGACUAUUGUGAAGCUGUAUUUUUUAUUUUAUUUUUUUAAAUUGAGAGUUAUUGGAAUAUUUCUUUUAGUGAGAGGUCAAAUGUAAAUGAACAAAACUAGUUUAAACUUUAAACGCGCCUUUAAAAGUGCCAGAAAAUGUGAAACCUCUUUAUUUUUGUGAAAUAAUGUUAUAGGAUGGUGAAAUAAAAAGAAAUAUAUAAUAGAAUCUUUACAUUAUUGAAUGGGUGUUAUUAUAAUUAUAAUUUAAUUUCAGGGAGUUAGCUCUUCUCAUGUAUUGACAUCUUGACCAGCACAGCAUCUGGACUUGCCUUCUGUGAAAGCAUUGGAUGUGGCCCUCGUAUACUGCAAUAUAAAAUUCAUUUCUUAGAUCCAGUAAUGAGUGAUAAAAUUUGUAAUUUGAACUAUAAAAGCAGUAAAAGUUUCUGUAGGACAAGCAAUAUAACUUGAUAGGCAUUGCCUUUGUAUUACGAUUUUAUACGUCAGUGCUGAAAUGUAUUAGCGCGAAGGUGAAGAAAAUCAACGUUUAUCGUACAAGCACCACAGAUUAUUAGGAAGCAAGAUUGUGUAAGAUAUUGGUCCGGAAAUUUCUCCUUUGGCGCAGGUGAAAACGAAAUUCCUUUUGCUUGUUUGACUUUUUAUCUUCGUAAACUUUUGUGUUUCUGAAUUUGUUCUUCUGUUUUAUUUUAGUUUGUCGUUAAUCUUUUAUCAUAACUCUUCAUUGUUUGUCUUUGUAACGUAUAGAUAAAUUGUUUUCAAUUUUUUUCAGAAAGAUUAGUUUGAAACUAAUAAAAUAUAUACAAACUAUCAUUAAAAAAGAUUAAUAUUUUAUAUGAUCUCAAAUUAUCAUAGAUGAAUACUUCAAAAAAAAAUUUACCGGAAUUUAGUGUCAAUUUCUUAAUUUAAGGAUGAAUUGAGUCUGUUGUAAAUCUGUUUUUGAUCGUUGACCAGCUUUUGCACUUUUAAAUGUCUUUCUUUUGUCCGAUGAGUUUAAUUGUAAGGAAUGUAUUACAUGCAUGUAACAUUAAAUGCUUUUCUUCUUUUCUUCUUCAUGUGACAUCCUAAUGGGUGUUGCUUUUAACUUUUGGCGUUAAUAUUUUUAACCUUUUACCCACUCCAUCAAUAACCUAAUAGUGGUCUCCCCAUAUGAAUUCAUACAAUGGCAACCACAUAAGGUCUUCUUCCUCUUUUAUCAUGUUUCAUUGUUUUAUCUUGUUUCAUUGUUUGUUCUACUGUGAGAGUGUUGUAGUUUGUGCUGUGAGUGUGGGAUGGUGUGGUUAUGUUUCGCGGUGGUGGUGGUGUCAGAGAUUGGUGGUGGUGCUUGAAGGUGUAGUGGGGAAAGUCGUGAAAGAACAAUAGCUUCUUCGCCAGGUACGUAAGAAACCCUAAAAAGUUAAAAUCUUCACCAGGUACAAGAGGUUCUUUCGCGGGUUCUGAUUAGGCGAGAAACAAUCAAACAAACGGCGACACGACGAUAGCGACACAACAGUCCAACACAGAUUCAAAGCACAUAACAAAAAAUAAAGCUACUAAAACAGUGAGCGGAGAACUAACUUGGACAAUUUGGAGACCACAACAAAGAAACUAGAUCCACGCUCCUCCACACCAGAGAUCAACGACAAUGGAAGCUUUGAAAUCCAAAAGGAAAAUGAGAAAGAAACAAAUGAAGGAAAAAGAAAUGGAGGAGGGAAAGUGAAACGGAAAACAAAGAUCCGUGAGAUUGGAGGUGUAGGGAAAGUGAAAGGGAAAUGGGAAGAGAGAUCCGUGAGAUUGGGUGCAGCAGCAAAGAGUAAAGUAGGAGAACCGGGAUUUCAAAUAAAUUAAAAUAUGGUAAAAGUAACAAAUUUUAACCUAAGGAUAGAAUUGGAAUUAAAGAAAAUGAGAGAGGUAUAGGAAGCAUGAUGUGGUGGUGGAGGGAGGAAUGUCCUAUCCUAAUUGUUAGAUGGGCUUAUCUCUUCUUGGAGAGUUUAUCUUUUGAAUUUGUCUAUAGAGUAAUAUGGUAAAAAGAACAUAGUCCCUUCAGAUUUGAUAAUGCAUGACUCAUGGAACUGUUGAAGAAAACAUCCUUAACAUUUUAUCCAAGACAUUUUAGUGUGUUUUUGUUAGGGAUUUUUGAGUUCAAGAAUUCAAAUUAUAAGAUUAAUACAGCAAUAACACUCAAAUUAAACAUUCAACCAUUACAUAGAUAGAUUUACGGGAUUACAAGUAUAAAAACAUUCAACAGCGUCCAAGGGAAGAGUUCCCUUCACACAGGUUAGCACUUCUAAAACAACAAUCUAAAAACCCACCCCUGUAGAAGGAACUGUAAUCAUACUAAACGAAAUCACUCCCUCUAACCUCUUCUAACUACCCAUAAACCGUCCAACCCUUAACAACUAUUUUAUAACUUCUAAUUUUUAACUUUUUCCUAACAUACACUUUAAAAGACUUAUCAAUACUCCCAGGAUUCCGAACAACCUUAUCCUGAAGGUGGAAAUCUGGAUAUUGAUCACGAAUGGUUCCUUCAUCUUCCCAUGUAACACCUUCAGGUCCUCAUGUUUGCCACUGAAUAAGGAGUUGAGGAACCGAGAUACCAUGAUACUGCUGCACCCUAUGAUCCAAGACUUUAAAGGGAAAACAACUGAGAUCUAGUAUGUGAAGUUCAGUUGGAAGAUUCUGUUCGACUGGAUGAGUGCCAAUAGCUAACUUAAGUUGGAUUAAAAUAUUGUGGUGUAACUUCUUCAUAGAUUGCGGACUGUUUCUAGCUUUAGUAAUGGUUGUUUUGGUUAGAACAAAUAUCCAUAAUUGGAAUUAUAGAAUUGUAGGCUACUUGGAGCCUUUUUUGUUGUUGUUUGAUAACCCAAGAAGUGGUUACAGGCAGUAUGUUGGGUUACUAGAUAGAGGAAUCCAAGAGCACAACUGCAAAACACCUAAACUCACUGAAAAGAUCCUGUAUUAUUGAUUUCAGGCACCAAGAAUGCCUCCAAGGCACAAUGUUCCUUUCACACAUGAUGCCAAUGAUCCUGUCAACAAUUCACUAAAACAUCCAAAAACCUCCCCUACCUACAAAGACCCCCCACUAUAUAAAGGAAACCUCACUCAACCUAAUAACCCAACUAACAACCAAUUUUUAAUGUUUCCUCCUAUCAUACACAUUAUAUCACAUCAUCACACAAUGCUACAAAACAACCUUCUCCGCAAGGUUGGAACAGUGAAGCUUGAUCUGAUGGCUCAUCUUCAUCAACGUUUAGUCAUAUGAAGGGAACCCACUGGCUACUGGCCGCCAAUUCAGGUUUGAGGCUUGGGUGGUGGUCGAUAUAACCCUUUAUGUUCCAUUAAUGAUAAGAACUACUUCAAACCAAAAGACCUGGAAAACUAAUGACUUCUUGGACGACUAAAUUGUUUUUAGCAUAUGUUCGCGACAACUCUCUUUUUCUCAUUUCUACUUCUAGAUAUUCAAGAAUUACUUGGCUAUCCCCACAAAGCACAAGUGUCAUAGUGCGCUCUAAAACUGUUUCUUUCCUACCAUCUUUACUUUCCUCCACUGUGAGUAAUUCCAGAUGGCUAGUUAAAAACAACUCUGCGAGAAAACCAAAAAUUCCUCUGUGGCCAUCGAUAAAAGUAAGAUCUACAAGUGUUAUAACAUCAGAAAAUUCAGGAUAUGGAUUUGUAACUGAUAUAGUGGAUGCACCCCUGGACACUAGGGCCUCAACUGGGUUGCUCCCUGACCCCACUAUUUUAACCCCAAGCCUUAACAAUUCUACUCCCUCCACAUCUAGUUUACUACUCUGUGCAGAUUUAUCUUCCUUCUUCUCUUCAUCAUUAGCCAAGUACUCUCCUUCUUCAGAGAAUUUCUUGUCUUUCCUACUAUUUUGCAGACUAUCUUUCUCAGCAUCCAAUUCCGUUUUUCCCUCCUUCUUUCCUUUCAUGACAAAUUUCUCACUUCUUUUGAGCCCUUUCCACGAUUUAUGAAUUCCUUCAUCAUGUCUUUCUUUUCUUGGAUGAUUUCUCUUAUUUCUUGCACAUUGUCUUUUUUUUUUUUUUUUUUUUUUUUUUUUUUUUUUUUCUGUCAUGACUCUUCCUUGUUUAUUGGCCCCUUUCUCCAAAGUAUUUACUCUUUUUUCCAUCACCUCCUCAUAGUGCAACAUUUCAAGGGUUGGUUAGGAAGUUGAUUAGGUCCUUGGUUCUUGAGGCUUUUAGCGUUGGUGUAGGUUGUAACUUUUUCCUAGCUGUUCUGGAAUUUUUUUUUUAUGCAGGGGUUGUCUAAGCAUGCUAGCUGGUGGCAUCUUGUUGCACCAUUUUUCUCUCUCUUUGGCUUGUUGUUUUCGAUACUCACAAUUUAGUUUUUGGCCAAUUGGUGCUUGAGUCAUGGUUUAUGCUCAUGGUGUGUGUUUAACUUACUGGAACAUCUUUAUUUUUUUAGGAUAAGGAAGGGUGCAUGUUGCAGUGUUAUGUUGUGGUUGCGGUUUUGGCCGUGACUUUAAAGGCUAAUUUUUGGUUCCUUUUGUGAUGUUAUGUUGUAUAAUGAAUGCUAUGUGUUGGUAUAUUUUUCCUACUUUCUUUUUUGUGGUAAAUUGUGUUGCAUCAUAUGUGAUUAUUCUUGCUACUAUUUAUUUUUCAUUGAUUGGUUCCCACACUGCUCACUAGAAUUUGUAAAGUCGGGGUUGUAUAUUUCGUCUAUGAGAGGUGGUAAAAAGGUAGUUCUUUUUAUGUAUGAAAGGCGUAGAAGAGAUGAGGUUUGAGUGUUGCCCAUUUUUUUUCAAGGCGGUAGAAAGGGAAUGAUGUUUUGCCCAUAUAUUUCUGGCUCGUGUUGAGUAUAGUGCCCAUUGUAAGCAACAACGAAGUUUUUACUCGUAAAUCCUUGAGGGACAAGGGAGAUAGGUCCAAAGCUGCGGUGGGAGAUAACUCGAACCGUCCUAUUUUUGUGAACAUGUUUUGUACGGUAGGGUAUAGGAGAUGACAUAUGGUUUGGAAUUGUAUGGUUAGGGCAUGGUUUAUAAUUGAGAUGGCCUUGUUUGGUGUGACAUGUUGAUAGCAUUGAAUUAAUUAUUUGAGUUUAAUGUUUUGUAUUCUUAUAUUUAAUGGUAAUUCUAUUAGCUCACCAUUAUUAUUGUUGUGUUGUGCAAUGAUCGUAUAACUCGUUUUGUUAUAUUGAAACAAAUGAUCCCACAAAUGUACUUGUUGAUGAGUAAAGCGACGAGAUGUGCAUGAGCUAUGGAGAUUUUACAACUUAUGUUUUAAACCGUUUUAAUUGAUUGUAAUGUAAUUUUUUAGACUUUUAUAUGAUGUUUUUAAAACAUGGUUAUAUUAUUUAUAUCGUUUUGGUCUAAGUUACAUGACAAAUAAAAUCAAAGUUUUUAAUAACUCAAAUUUUCUAAAGAGGUAUUAGAUUUUAAGAUUUCGUAGAUGAAGAAGGUUUUAUGCUUCACCUGUGGCAUCCUGAAAUGGAUGUUAUAUCUCUCAUGCUUCUUGUGAAUAUGCAGCUUUUGUUAUCUUCAUAAAGCAUGAUUCAUCCUCAACUUUGUAUAAUAGGUACAAAGUUGAUUUGUCCUUUACUCGUGUUUUUCUUAAUGCAACAAUCUGGAUAAUUGCCUGUUCUUCAUCUUCUGUUGGUCUUGGUACCCAUUCUCAACCACAUCUGAACCCAUCUUGGGAUACAAUAAGAGUCUUCAUCUGUAGACUCUAAUCAUCAUAAUUGGUUUUCUCCAUCAAUUGGUAGAGACAUAUGCAUAUCGUUUACAAGAUUAGUCAUCUCACCCUCUCUUCCUUGAGCACUCAAGCACGUUUUCUCUCUUUUUCCACUAUGGCACUCUCUCUCUUACUCGGGCACUCAGAGCACAAAAGUUUUAAUACCAAUUUAUAAAAUAUACAACACACACACACACAUACACACCUAUGUGAGUAAAUGAUUUUGAAUAAUUCAUUGUGUAUUUCUUUUAGCUAUACAAGUCCUUAAAUAGUCCUGCCAGAAAUGUGUACAAAGAAUAAUAAUAUUAUUACCUGAGUAUAAUAACUAAACACAAAAUAUAUAAUAACUGAUAUUGACCAAGCUUAACGAAAUAAAAACAAAAACCAGAAACUCUACAACAGAAAACACGAACUUGACAAAGCAAAAUCAAAAAAUAAAACUCAAACGAAAUUAUAAAUAAACCCCAAAUUUAAGUUUAUUCCAACAUUUUAUUUGGACCCUAAGGUGAAUGCAAAAUGUUCUUAUCGGGAUCUAAAAUAUGGACCUUUGAACAUGUGGAAAGAUCUUAGUAGUGGCUUGAAUCCUCUUGAUGGCUAGAAUUAAUCCCUUGUUUAGAAGGAAAUGAUCUACGUGCAAAAGAUUCUUCCACGCUCAAGUUAGUUAGAGAACUUUAGGAUCUAUAUAAGUGUAUAAGUAGGUAAGAGAAAAUUAUAUGUAUUUCCUCAUGUAAUAACAAAUAUAUUUAUAAAAUUUCUGGAUCCUGUGAGAUUUGUUAUAAAAAAUGAUAGUAUCAAAAGAAUAUCAAAUAAUACUAACAAAUAUAACAACUACAUAUAUGACAAUUAAUAAAAAAAUAACAAUAAUGUAAUACCUUAUCAUCUAUACUAAAUAUUUUAUAAAUAUAUGGUAUUAAAAAAUAUCGUUAUAUAAUCAAAUUAAUGAGAUUUUGUGACAUGUACUAUUAAUAUAUAAAUAUCUACACAAAUAAAAAUAUUUUAAAAUAUCUUCUAAUCACUUAAGUCAAUAAAAUUGAAUGUACAUUAGACCAUAUCAUUUAACAUGUUGAACUAUACCAUUCUUAUUAGAAUUGGAUCACCUCCCGUACUAUAACAACAAUACUCCUCUAUAAUAACAAGUUUCAGUGUAGAUUGUACUCCGAGGUGAACAUAGUUUGGAGUACAAAAGGACUCAAACAAUAUAUAAAUUUCGUUUAACUUAUGUUUUAUUGGGUUAUCAAAUAUAUUUUAUUAUGUGUGUACCAAGUUUUCGAUAACUUAUGUCAGAGAUAAUAAAGUUGAGUGGUUAGAUUUUAUUUGGUUUUGUAAUUGUAUGAGAUGGCAUUUGAUCAUAAAAUAAUAACCAUUUUAUAAUAUUAGAUAGAUACAAACUUGAAAUAGCAAUAAUCUAUCAAAAUUCUAAUAGUGAACCAAAAGUGAGAAAUUUCCAAUGUAGAGAGAUCAACAAGGAUGCUACAUGUGAGGAACUACUACUACUACUACUCAUUAUCAUCCAGUUCUAGCAUUAGGGUAUCCAUAGAUGGUCGAAGAUGUGGAGACUCGUGAGUGCAAAGCACAGCAACUCUUCUCAGCUUGGUGGCCUCUGAUUCUGAGAACAUCCCUUCAAGAUUCUCAUCAACUAUAUCUUUCAAAAUGCCACUUUGGCAAUUCAACUGGGUGAUGUCACGUUUUCCGGUGAGAAGCUGGAAAACAAUCACUCCAAAGGCAUACACAUCACUCUUUUCUGUCAAACGACCAGUUUUGGUGUACUCUGGAGGCAGAUAUCCCAUGGCAGCGCUAGCUUUGAGGGCGGAAAAAACAACAUCAUCUUCAAGGAGCUUGUGCAAUCCGGAAUCUGCAAGUAAAGCCUUGUACCCAGCAUCCAGAAGUACGUUUUCAGCUGAUAUAUUUUGGUGAACGAUCCCAUGUUUGCUUCCUUUUUUCCUAUGCAGAUAAUCGAUACCUGGAUAAAGAUAGAAUCAUUUAAUUUUAGUUUACAGAGGAACUUACACGUUAGAAGUGAACUUUUCUAAGAUUUAUUUGAAGAGACAGAAGAAAAACUGACCUUUGGCAAUACCACGAAUGAUGAACACUCUGAUCGACCAAUCAAGUACCCUACCACUGUUUCUCUUAACAUCAAGAUACUGCAACAAACUCCCAUUAGAGAGAGAGUCAUAGAUCAGAAAACAUUCUCCGCGGCCUUUUGAACAGCAAAACCCUCUCAAACGAACUAGAUUUUCAUGCCUUAACGAGGUCAAUAUCUUCAAACCUGUCAAGAACUCUCCUUCAUCUGAUUUGCAGCUUGUUUUGGCGAUACACUUUAUAGUCACAGCAGAACCAUCUCUCAAAACCCCCCGGUACACAGCUGAAGAAUCACUCUUCCUCAAUAAAUUUACCUCUGAGAAGAUUUGAGUUGCGCGUUCUACUUCUUCAAGAUUAAACAUAAAGCUCUCAAGAAAUUCCUGGGAAUACCCACAUCGACCUUUCUCUAAUGGGUCCCAACCGUCAGAAUACUCCAAACUGAUAAGAGGAAACGCACUUUUCUUACACACUUGCUUAAGCCGGUUAUCAGAACUUCCAAUUUUCUGAAUCUGACUACGUCGCCAGAAUAGCAAAAUCAUUCCUGCAACGGUUGAAGCAAAAACGAGUCCAAUGACGGUAAAAACCAGACCAAUUUUUGAAGAUUUCGAUGUCCUUUUACAAUGACCACCGCCGCAGCUUUCACGCUGUGGUUCUAUUGAUGCAGGAAGAUCUUUCGUAGAUAUAUCACCAGGUUCAUAUGGUUCGGGUCUAACUGGUUCUGAAGUGCUUACUCCUUUGCAAGAAUCUAAAUCAGCGAAUCCAGUCCCACAUAAACCCGGAUUGUUCAUGUACUGAAACCCACCUUUGAGUCUUCUCAGAGCUGCACCAAGCAGACACACAAAUUGAAUUAGCACAUAAUUAAUUCCAUUUUUGGAAUUUAAUCUAGGAUUUAUCUCAUUUUCAAGAAAAAUAAACCAAUUUGUCAAAAUCAAUAAGGUUGAUGAAUUACCUGUAGGUACACGGCCAGAGAGAGAAUUGUUACGAAUAUUCAGAGUCUGGAGAUUAGGUGCAUUAGCCAAUGUGACUGGAAUAGGACCGAAAAGGUUAUUGAAGCUCAAAUCCAAUCGUUCCAAUGUCCCCACUUCACCCAAACUAGCUGGAAUAGCGCUAUUUAAUUGAUUAUAUUGCAGUGCAAGAACACCGAGCUUCCUCAACCUUCCCAGGUCAGUAGGUAUACUCCCACUAAAUUUGUUAUAGCAAAGCUGCAAAACUAUAAACUCUUAACAAAUUAGACUGAAAGUAGAAAUAAGAAAGAUGAACACUGAAGUGAAGGGGAGAAAAGAUAAGAAAUUUGUAAGAUUUUUUGAAGAAGAAAGCACCUUGAAGAUUUGACAUAUUGCCAAUCUCGCGAGGGAUGUCACCAGAGAGGUUAUUGACGUUGAGAUACAAAUCACUUAGCUCAGUCAAAGUGGAAAUUUCCUUUGGUAAUAUCCCAGUGAGGGCAUUGAAGUGAAGGAAGAGACCCGUCAAGCUCUUGAGAGCAGCCAAAGCUUCAGGUACUCUUCCAUAUAGACCCUUUCCUUGCAGUGAAAUAUUGGUAACGAGGCCUUGGUCAUUGCAAGCCACACCCUCAAAAGAGGCACUACUACAGGGGUCAGAAUGGGGGGUCCAUGAGAGCAACACGCGGUUCUCUGGGUCUAGAGAGUCUCUGAUGGCUAAGAGAGUGUCAAGCUGGGUCAUGGAGGUGGAAAGAGAUGGAGAAGAAAUCCAUGUGAGGAAGAGUAGCAGUUUCAGAAGGAUCAUGAACAUGAUCAGUUCCAGGGAAUUUAGUCCUUGGUGUAGCAGUUAUGCUGUGAUGUUGGAGGGGGAGAUUUCUUAGCAAGAGAAACAGCACGCAUGUGAAUUGAAGCAGAUGAAAAUGGGUGUGUUUUUAGACUGAGAAAAUGUCAGAACGUGUCUGGUUUGUGGUCUGAGGGAUGUUCAUUCACAAUAAAAUAUGAGCGAGAGCAGACAGAGUUGGAUUUUCCUUCGAGCAAUGAUGCAGAUAUACUUUAAUUUUGUCUAUAUUUAUUUUUUAUCUCUUUUAUUUUAUUACAUCAUAAAUUUAUUAUUUUUAUUCUUUUAUAUAUAUUUCUUUUAGGUUUAAUUUGUAACUUGUUCAUUAUUUUUAAAUUUUUAUUCGUUUUAUUUUUUCAUUUAUUUUACAUAAUAAAUCUUUAUUUUCUAAAUAACUAGUAGCUUUUUACUUUUUUUUUUUAAAUAUUAAAUUGACAUUAAUUUUUGUGUAAAGAAAGCCAUUUAUAAAUUAUUUUUUGUCUUAGAGACUUUUUUAGUAUAACACGUGAUAUCUUGGUACACUUUUCAAACAUGUGACAUUUUAAAAAAUUUGACAUGACACUUUUUAAAUUUUAUUAAUAAUAAGACCAAAUCGAUGUUAUUAAAAAAUUAAAAAAAUAAUAUAGAACCACAAUAAAGAAGGGUUUUAUCGAAGGCUACAAUCUCUCAGAAAGAGCCAAAAUUCAUCGGUAAUUUAUCAUUACUGAUUGUGUACCGACGAUCAUAAAGUUGUCGGUAAUGGCCUUGUCGUUAACAUUUACAGACGACUUAUCGAAGGUUUCUGUCCUUCAGUAAUUAUCGAAGGCCAGAAGCCUUCGGUAAAACCUUCGGUAACAUCCGAAAAAAUACAAAGUUAUAUUUGUAUUUGUUAUCCAACCACAUAUACCUGCAUAAAAGGUUCACACAACUAAGACAGACCUGCAUAACAGUUUCAAACCAUAGACAGACCUGCAUAUUGUGCAUCCCAAAAUCAUUCAAUAUCAUUCAAUAUCUGUAAAGUUCAGAUUUAAGAAGUUAUUUCUAUAAAUGAAAAAUGAAACAUAAAACAAUAAUAUCAUUCAUUUUUGAGCAAAGAUAAUGUUCCAAAAUCAUGAUGUACUAAAAUUCAAAUGUACUAACAUCAGGAUGUUCUAACAACUAUGAUUAAAUAACAAAAUAAAACUAAAAAUCUACAUAGUCAUCAUAAUGUUCUCCAUCAUCAUGCUCCUCUGUAGAUGGCUGGACUGGUGUGGGCUGGACUGAUGUGGACUGGACUGAUGUGGGCUAGACUGAUCUGGGCUGCUGAGAGACGGCGGAUGACGGGGAAGGUCGUGGCUGGGUCGGAAGGACGAUGGAAGGAGUGUCUGAAGUUUGAAGCAGCACUCUCAUGACUAGGGACUUGAAGUUUAUAAACUCGUUUCUCAAUAUUUAUCCAAAUUAAAUGCCAAAAUAUAUAUCUAAAUAAACUUGAUGAUGGUUUACAUUCACUCGGAAUUCACAAGCCAAUGUUUUGUUCUUUAAUUUCAACAUCAAUUCUAACAGUCCAAUUAUAGGACAUAAAAUCUAUUUACUAGGUUAUCAUAAGAUUAAUAUUAAAACACAAUAAAAGUUUAAAAGCACCGUUUUUCAUAAUAAUUCAAGCUAUAUAAAAGUAUUCCAAUUAUUUUUUUCUAAACUCGUUAUAAACUAUUAUUAAAAUACAAAAUAUAUUUUUACAUAUCUAAACUUUAAAUACAUACUUACUUUAUUCAUUUUAUCUAUAAAGUCUUUGUCCAUCUUCUCUCCAAAGCUUGUAUAAUUUUAUAAUUUUAUGUAGAUGUGAUCAUCACAUGUGAAUUAUCACAAUUACAAAAUACUAUCUCAAGCGAAUUACCACAAUUACAAAACACCAAAUAAGCUAUAGUAAAAUUUUAUAUCUAAAAAUUAAUAUAAGGUUUAAUGUUUCCAUAAGUCCUUAUUUUCGUUUAAAAUCUCAAAUAGGUCCUUUUUUUUUGGCUUUUCAAUUGAGUCCUUUUUUUUUUGUAAAAUUGUAACAAUUAGGAGUCUGCUGUCAAAUUGGACAAAAGGCCGUUAAGUCUAGGUUACGUGGCAUGAUUAAUCAGUUCAUUAAUCUUACGUGGCAUUAAAAAUAAGUUUUAUAUUAAAAAUUUGGAUUCCAAUGUAGGAAAUUUUAGGGAAGGACAAAGUAGACAAAAACGAGUUUUAUGUUUCUUUCGUUAAAGUUCUGGUUUUUAUAUUGUUAAUUAAUCUUAGGAGCAUUUAUCUCCCUCAUCCAAGCUUUUCUGAUGUUUCAUCCCCUUCCAAGCUUUUCUGAUGUUUCAUCCCCUUCCAGUACUCAUAUCUCAAGAACUUAAAAGAAUAUGUUUCCAAUCAAGUUUCAAUUCUGUAAUAAUAGACAAAAAAAAGAGAAACAAAUUUAGAGUGCUAAUUCUUUGACGCACACCGUGAAAGCAAGUGAGUUGUGGCAAGGAAGAAAGAUACAACUUCUCUAAACAAGGAAGCAAAAACUUUGCUUCUGUAUCUUCUUUUUCUACAAUUUCAUGAAACUUAGCACAAUAUUUUAUUUUAAGGCUUUUUAGCACAUCUACUGUUGCACUAUCCCGUACUUCCAACUCUUUUAAGCUCUUUAGAAGAGCAAGAAUAACAUAUGGAAUUGCGUUGGCAUGGUUGACUCAUUAUAAGCCAUUUGGUUCAAUCCAAAGUCCUAACCUUUCCUAAUGAAUCAAAUCCCUAAUUCCCAAAUGAAAUCAAUCUGUAGAGAAAACAGAUGAAUCAAAUCCCUAAUUCCAAUUUAAAAAAAAACCCUAAUCUAAAACGCAACCAAGAACGCAAUCCCCACCACCCACGAGAACGACUAUUGAAAUGCCGCAACGAACCCUCCCUCCUUGCACCACGAAUCGGAUCGACCAACGUCCUCGUGUAGUUGCCGCGACCUUGCUGCACCAUCGAUUUGUUAUCGUUGCGCCUCCGCUGUGCCUUCACAAGAUCUCUACCUUUGUUUGAAAAUGUAGAAUAUUCUCGCCUCCAACGUUAAGUCUGUUCGCGUCAAAAGAGAAAAGGAAGAAGCUUCAAGCUUCUAGAGUUCUGCGUUUAACGGAAACGAAGAAGAGAAGAGACGGGGAAAGAGUUUUCCCUUAUAUGGCCCCAAGGGCUACAUUUAAAUUUUUCCAUGUUCCCCACUUUGCCUUUUCCUAAAUCUAAUUCACUCCAAUUUUUUAAAACAAAAUUCGUUUUUAAUGCCACGUGAGAAUAAUAAACAAACCAACAAUGCCACGUAAUCCAAAUUUAAACGGUGGUUUGUCCAAUUUAACGAUUGACCUCUAAUUGCUUCAAUUUUACAAAAAAAAGGACCUAAUUGAGGUGCCCAAAAAAAGAGGGAUCUAUUUGAAAUUCUGAACUAAAAUAGGAACCUACUGAGACAUUAAACCUUAAUAUAAUUAUCACAUCCACACACAAACAUUAACUCAAGCAUUAUAAUUCACUUUUCUUAAACUAUCAAAUACACAUAAUUUUCAUGGCUUAUCUAAACAUAAGAUACCAACAAAAAUAUAUAAGACUCUCAAUUUCCAAAAUUUAAUGUAUUGAAUAGACUAAAAAAUCUUGCACUUGUUAUUAUUUGACCCCUCCAACAACAAUAGAGACUAUAAUUAUAUUUAAAGAUAAUAGAAUCUAGUUUCUCAUCACGAAAAUAUGACAUGUCAAAUCUCUACAUUAAUUAUGUAUGAUUUUCCUCUUCGUACUUAAAUGUAAAGACCUCCUUCAACUUUCAUUACUAAGUAUUUUUAUUUAUGUGAAUCCAAUACUAUAGAAUUAAGAUUAAUUCCCUUCUAAUAUCUCAAUUUAUUACACUUAAUUUCCUCUUUAUACAUUAGGAUUAAAUGAAUCCCUACACAAUUAUCACAUACAUUCCUAUCUCUUUCAAUAUACAACAAACAUCUAUUAACAUAUAUUCAACCAACAUAAACAUAUUCAAUGCUUAUUAAACAAUUAGAGUCUAAGAAUUUUAGCACCAUGCCUUUAUACUUUCGCUUAACGCAACUCACACGUCCAAUGUCUUUCCAAAAAACUUUAAUCAAUAGUCUGAAUAUCCCUUACCCUUAUGAUAUUUAACUAAUAAAAGGUUUUUCUUUGUCCUAUAAAGACUAUAUUAAGACCCUAAUUUUCAUGAAAAAAACCUUCCCCAAACCAAUUAAAAAGAUAGAAAAAUGAAAACUUGCUUUAAUCUUUUCCAAGACUCCUAAAGUGACUUUGAACCAUUAAAGCACAAACAAAUCCUUAAAAAAUCUAGAAUAGAAAUAAAAGAGAAAAAAUUAUUAGAAAAAUACCUUUUAAUAACUUAAAUAAUAAAAUAUUUACACUUCAUCUCCUUUAAAAUACUUUUCUUCUUAAACACAUUUUAGUCCUUACACAGGCCAUUCUUAAAAUGAUUUGAAAAUCUAAUUUUUAUAUUUAUGUAUCCAUCAUGUUCUCUGAUAAUAUAUUUUGAUAUCGGAUAGAAAGGUACAAAUUUGCUCUGCACUAAGAAAAUAAAAAUUGCGAAAAAUAAAAAAUUAAUCAUAAAAUUCGAGACAAAUUUCACACCGUAACUUUCUUAAAUAAGAAUGAAUAUUGAACUCGAAGAUUGAUUAUUAACAUUAUCAGUUAUGUCGUGAAUUUUAUUAAUAUAAAUAUUUUUUAUUUAGUAUAAUAAGAUAAAUAAUUUAAGUAAUAUUACUAAAAUAAUUAUAUUAUAUUUCUUUUUUUUUUACUUAAAUCUAUUAAUUUAUUAUACUUCUUUUUUACUUAAAUCUAUUAAUUCUCUCACAAUUUAAACAAUCUUACAUUUUAUUAUGUUUUUAAUUUUUUUAUGUUCACUACAAUUGAAAAAAUCCUAAUGAAAAGAAAUGAACGAAAGAAAUAAAAAGUGUUUAAUAUGAAAAUGAUAUUUAUUCAUGUAUACUGAUAUGGAAAUUGGAUUGAUGGUGGUUUCCACGACAAACUUUAAUGUGAAUCCAAAGAUGAGAUGAAGAAAAAAAGUCACUAAAGUAAUGACAGCCUGAAAUCAGAAAAGUAUGAUGGGAUUCGUGGGCCCUCAUAUCAGAAAACAAAAGCCUUACAGAGACUGGAAAUUGUUCAGUUAAUCCUGAUUCGCUAAUUAUGGUUUCACGAGUUAAUUUGUAAUUAUGGGUUCACAAGUUAAUUUGUGAACAUUUAUGCUCUUUUUUUUUAAUAGUGAUAUUGUUUUUUAGUUAUUUAUGCAACUAAUAUUUGUUUUAAAGCAAUUAUGCUGAUUAAAUAAAUGGGUUACCGAGUCUUUAGGAAGAGUGAAAGUUAAAAUUUAGUUCUUUGGUAACAACAUCCUAUAGGUAGUGGGCAUUUUUGAUUUUUUUUUUGUCACGGUGAUUUUUUUUACCUAUAAAGAUGUAUUAGCUUUUCAGUUUUGAAUAAUAGAAGAAAGUAUUGAAUUCAGAAAACAAUUGUUACUUGUGUUCACAAUUUGGUAUUAGAGCUCUUUCACAGGAGCAUGAACCAUAAAGUUACGUGUGUGAGAGAGUGAAACACCUAGAGAGAGUGAGAACAUUGGGUUGUGAGUGUUGAAAGAAAUCAAUUUCGAGAUGGCUGAAACAGUGAAGUAUGUUCAACCAGCUAUUCCAAAAUUUGAUGGCCAUUAUGAAUAUUGGGUCAAGUUGAUGGAAAGUUUCUUACGUUCCAAUGAAUAUUGAGACUUAGUGAAAAAAUGGAUUGAUGUGGUACUAGACAAAGAAAAAGCCUAAGAAGAUGAUCUCAAAAGGAUGGCAGAACAACAGCUCAAGGACUUAAAGAUAAAAAAUUAUCUCUAUCAAGCAAUUGAUAGGGAAAUUUUGGACACUAUCUUAAAUGACGAAACAUCCAAGAAUAUAUGGGAUUCCAUGAAGCAAAAAUUUUAGGGGUCAACAAGGGUGAAAAGAGCUCAAGUACAAGCUCUAAGCAAGGAUUUUGAGACUUUGCAGAUGAAGGAAGGAGAAUCAGUAAACUCCUGUUUUGCACACACUUUGAAAAUAGCCAAAAGCAUGAAGGCAGUUGGAGAAAUCAUGAAAGAAAACGUCAUAACUGCAAAAAUCUUGCGAUCUAUGACAAUCAAAUUCAACUAUGUGGUAUAUUCGCUUGAAGAAUCCAAUAAUAUGAAUAUGAUGACUAUAGAUAAAUUGUAAAGUAGCUUAUAAGUACAUGAGCAAAGAAUGAUGCUUUCAGUUGAAGAGGAACAAGUUAUGCAGGCUGUGGUUGAAGAUAAAAGUAGCGAAAGAGGUAGAGGAAGAGGAAGAGUUCGAGGAUCCUUUCGAGGUAAAGGAAGGGACAAGCAAAUGUUUAAUAAAACUGAUGUAGAAUUUUUCAAAUGUCACAAAUUUGGACACUUCCAGUAUGAAUGUCCUAUGUGGGAAAAGAAGGCUAACUAUGCAAAAAUGGAAGAUAAAGAAGAACAAGAGGAUGAGCUCUUGUUAAUGGUUAUUGUGGAGAGCAAAGAAGGAGGGGAUGAGUGGUUUCUUGACUCAGGUUUGAGCAAUCACAUGAGUGGUAAUAAGGAGUGGUUCUCAGAAUUGGAUGAGAGUUUCCGGCAUAAGGUGAAAUUGGGAAUAACACCCGUAUAGCUGUAAUGGGGAAAGAUAGCGUGUGAUUGAUGGUGAAAGGUGUUGUACAUGUUAUUUCUCAUGUAUACUAUGUUCCUAAACUAAAAAAUAAUUUAUUGAGUCUUGGACAGCUGCAAGAAAAUGGUUUGAGCAUAAAUAUUCAAAAUAACAAGUGCAGUGUUGUUCAUCCAGAAAAUUAUGGAGAUUCAAAUGAGUGCAAAUAGAAUGUUUAUUUUGAUAGCAAAGGUAGCAGCAACAUUCUUCCAAACAGAUGUGGAGGAUAAGUCUCAACUAUGGCAUAAUAGGCUCGGACAUUUAAGCUAUGAUGGCUUAAAAUUGCUUGUCUCUAAGAAAAUGGUGACAAGGUUGUCUUCAAUUACCAUUCCUCAAAGUCCCUGUGCACACUGCCUAGCAGGAAAGCAACACAGAAAUGAUAUGCCUAAGAAAAGUCAAUGGAGAGCUUCUAAGAGGCUACAACUGAUUCAUGCAGAUUUAUGUGGACCCAUUCAACCAACAUCAAAGAGCAACAAAAAAUACUUUCUAAGUUUUAUUGAUGAUCUAUCAUGUAAAACUUGGGUGUGUUUUUUGGGUGAGAAAUCUGAAGCUUUUUCUUUCUUUAAAAGCUUUAAGGCAAUGGUUGAAAAAGAAAUUGGAGAAAACAUUGUAUGUUUGAGGACAAAUAGGGGAGGCAGAUUUUCUUCAAAAAUAUUUGAUGAUUUUUGUAGAAAUCAAGGAAUAAGGAGGUAAUUAAUUGCUGCCUACACUCCCCAGCAGAAUGGAGUUGUUGAAAGGAAGAAUAGAACCAUCAUGAAUAUGGUUCGUGCAACCUUGAAUGGAAGGCAGGUACCUAAAGUUUUCUGGCUAGAAGCAACAAAAUGGUGUGUUUAUAUUCUGAACAGGAGCCCUACAACAACAGUAAAAGAUAAAACUCCUGAAGAAGUCUGGAGUGGAGUGAAGCCUUCUGUAGACUACUUUCGAGUCUUUGGUGUCUUACCCAUGUUCACACACCUGAUCAACAACAAAUUAAGCUUGAUGACAUGAGUAAACAAUGUGUUUUAUUUGUGGUCAGUGAUGAAUCCAAAGCAUACAGGUUAUUUGAUCCAGUCAAAUAACAUAAGGGCUGGAAUUGGGAGCAUAACAAAGCAGAGAAUCAACAAAAUAUUGCUGAAUAGGAGAAACAUGACGAGAAUAGCUCUGGUAUACAACUUGACACACCAAAUAGUGAAGAGUCACAACAAGCAGAGCAACAAAAUAUUGCUGAAACAGAUUGCAGAAUUGACACACCAGAUAGUGAGGAGAUGCAACAAGCAGAGCCAUAAAAUACUGCUGAAACAGACUACAAAAUUGAGUCUUAUACUCUAGUAAUUGAGACUUCGCUUGAAGGGAGGGUUAAAAGGCAUCGUAGAGAACCUAUUUGGAUUGCAAAUUAUGAAGGAAGAGAAGGAUUGUUUGAUGAUGAUGAUACAAGGGAGAUGCUUACAACAAUAAUUGAUCCAGAAAAUUUUGAAGAGGCUGUAAAGAGUAAGAAAUGACGUGAUGCAAUAAUAAAAGAGACGAAAGCUAUAGAAAAAAAUGAAACAUGGGAAUUAAUUGAGAUGCCAAAGGAAGUGAAGUCAAUUGGAGUCAAAUGGGUAUACAAGACCAAGCUCAAAGAGAAUGGAGAUAUUGACAAAUACAAAGCAAGGCUAGUAGCAAAAGUAUAUGCACAACAUUAUGGAGUGGACUAUACAGAGGUAUUCACACUUGUUGCCAAACUAGACAUUAUUCAUAUAAUCCUUUCAUUGGUUGCACAAAAUGGAUGGACCAUAUUUCAGUUGGAUGUGAAAAGUGCAUUUCUUCAUGGAGAGCUUAAGGAGGAAAUAUAUGUACAACAACCAAUUGGGUUUACAAAGAAGAGAGAAGAAGAUAAAGUAUACAAGCUAAGAAAGGCACUAUAUGUACUCAAACAGGAACCAAAGGCAUGGUACAACAGAGUAGAUAGAUAAUUUCUACAAAAUGGCUUUGAAAGAUGUUUUUAUGAACAUACAUUAUUCACAAAGUCAGCCGAGGGAGGUAAAAUUUUAAUUGUGAGUCUAUAUGUAGAUGAUCUAAUUUAUACUGGAAAUGAUGUAAAGAUGUGUGAUGACUUUAAAAAUUCCAUGAUGUUGGAAUUUGAUAUGACUAACUUAAGGAAGAUGAGAUAUUUUCUUGGAGUUGAAAUUUUGCAGAAUACACAUGGAAUUUUCAUGUGUCAAAGAAAGUAUGCUCAGGAGAUUUUAUCUCGGUUUGGUAUGUUGAACUGCAAUGCAGUAAAAAAUUUGAUUGUACCGGGAACAAAACUGUCCAGGAAUGAUGCAUGACCAAGGUGGAUGCUACUUUGUUCAAACAAGUAGUUGAAAGUCUCAUGUAUUUGACUGCUACUAGACCAGAUUUAAUGUUUGUUGUGAGUUUAAUUAGUAGGUUCAUGGCCAACCCCACAUAAACUCAUUGGUUUGCAGCCAAACGAAUUCUAAGAUACUUGAAGGGGUCUAUUGAAUUUGGAAUUCUCUACAAGAAGGGAGAAAAAUUGACAUUGGUAUCCUAUACUGACAAUCACUUUACUAGAGAUAUAGAUGACAGAAAAAGCACAUAUGGACUUGCAUUCACGUUAGGAACUGGAGCUGUUUCAUGGUCCUCCAAGAACCAACCGAUUGUAACUCUUUCUACAACAGAAUCAGAAUAUGUAGUUGCUGCAAUAAGUGCAUGCCAAUGUAUUUCGAUUAAGAGAAUAUUGGAGGCUAUUGGUUUCAAAGGUCAUAAACAAGUUAUGGCUCUAUGUAAUAGUAGUUCAACUAUUAAAGUAUCCAAAAAUCCAGUGUUUCAUGGUAGGAGUAAACAUAUUGAUGUUAGAUUUCAUUUCUUAAGAGAUCUUGUCAAAGAAGGGAAAAUCAAGUCACACUAUUGUAGUUCUUAGAAUCAAGUAGCUGAUAUAAUGACAAAGCCACUCAAACUAGAGCAAUUUGUGAAAUUCAGAAGCAUGCUGGGACUUAUUGAAGCAUCAGAUAUAAACUAAAUUGAUUAUUCAAUCAUUUAGUUUAAGGGAGUGAUUGUUAGUUAUUUAUGCAAUUAAUAUUUGUUUUAAAGCAAUUAUGCAGACUAAAUAAAUGGGUGACCGAGUCUUUAGGAAGAGAGAGAGCUAAAAUUUAGCUUUUUGGUAACCUCCCACUUGUAGUUUUUUUUGUGUCACGGUGAUGUUUUUAACUUAUAAAGAUGUAUUGGUUUUCUAGUUUUGAAUAUCAUAAGAGAGUAUUGAAUUCUGAAAACAAUUGUUACUUGUGUUCACAUUAUUUUAUAGUGAUAUUGUCUUUUGUAGUGAUAUUGUGACAACAUUUUUUUCCCCAAUAUUUUAACAUUAUUUACGUGUUAUUUUGUGAUGGAUCCAUAUUGGUGUUUAUGAUUAUUAUUAUUAAUUAUGAAAUAAUUUUAAACCAAUCACAUAAUAAUAUGUAAAUGAUGUUAAAAUAUUGUCAGAAAUAUCUUGUUAAAGUAUCAUUAUCCUUCUUUCUUACAUGCUUUGCAAGCGAGUCUUACUUUUUCCACGUUAAACGAUAAAUUUUUUAACAUAAUGCUUAACUCAACAAUUUGGUUGUUAAAUGUGUCAAAUUAAAUCACGAUUAUAGAAUAAUAAAUUGACUUUUCAACUUUGUAAUUUCAUAAGAAAUUAAUUUUCAAAAAUAUAAUUCACUACUAACAACUCAACAAUAUCUCAACUUUUACAUUUCUAGAAAUUAUAUUAAAUUUUUUAACUUUUAUAUUAUAUUAUACUAAUGUAAUAUUUAGGAACUAAAAUAAUAUUUUGGAAAAGCGAUAGUUCAACGAGAACAAAUGAAUUUUCUCAUUGACUUCACUAGUGGAAAAAUGAUGUUUAACGUCACACGUUAGACGUCAAUUAAGUGUAAGUGCGACGUAUAUUGAUGACCGGUGACAUUUUCGUAAAUAAGUUGGCAAUAUAGUUAGAUGGAUGCCCGAUGUCUAUAGUAGUUUAGACGUCGGGUUUUCCAACCAGACGUCUAUAUUUCUGACAGUUAGGUGAAAAGUCAUUUCUUUUAGCCCGAUAGACGUCGGUUCGACUUUUUCAGCCUUAUAGACGUCGGAUCCCACCACAUUGAUAUAUGGCAGAAAUUAAUGUUGCUCACCAACCUGUCAGACAUAUAGACGUCGGGCUCAUUCUACCUAACACCUAUAUGUCUGUCAGGCAGGUGAAUAGUCACUCUUUUCAGCCCUAUAGACGUCGGAUCCCGCCACAUUGACGGGGCCCCGACGUCUAUAUGGUGGAAGUUAAUGUUGUUCACUAACCUGUCAGACAUAUAGACAUCGGGCUCAUUCUAACUGAUGCCUAUAUGUUUAUUAGGCAGGUGAAUAGUCACUCUUUUUAGCCUUAUAGACGUCGAAUCCCGCCACAUCGACGUCUAUAUACAAUUCUAGACGUUCGUUGCAUCAGGUGCCGACGUCUAUAAUCCUACCAGGUUUGUGAAAAGUCAUUCAUUUUCGCCCACGAGACGUCUCAUGCCACCAAGCCGACGUCUAUAUACAACAAAAAUAUUAAUUUUUAAUUCGAAUGGACGUCAUAUUAGUCAGGCGUCUGACGUAUUUGCUAUUUUAGACGUCGAUUAUGUGUAAAACAGACGUCUAAUUUCUUGAUAAAUAACACUGCGAACCAGCGGUUUGCGAACCAACACUUUGAUCGUCUUUGCCUUUUUCUCUCCGCUGCUUUGCAUUUCCAAGUAAGUUUCCUUUCCUUUUAACUAUUUAAAGUUGUUUUUACUCUGAUUAAAGUAAUCUUUCAUGUAUUAUCUCUCAUUUGAACCGAUUAAAAUGAGUUUAGGUUGUGUUUUGGUGCGGUUUUUUUGUUGUCUUUGUGUAGCGUAGUGCACCUUCUCCCUUUGAUAGUUUCCUUGUAAGGAAAACUUGCAUGUUUUGGAUUUCUCAUGGCAUUUCAACCUAAGGAAGAACUUGGGUUGUUGCCUAUGUCCAUUCCGACCGCCAAUGAAAAAGUAUACGGUGAGAAUACAGUGUAUUCUCACCGAGUUCUCACCGUAUUCUUUUUCAUUGGCGGUCGGAAUGGACCUAGGCAACGACCCAGGUUCGUCUUUGAGUUGAAAUGCCAUGAGAAGUCCAAAAGACGCAACUUUUUCUCACGAAGAAACUAGCAAAGGAAGGAGGUGCUAUUAAGCUACCCCAAGACACGACAAAAACAACACCAAAACACAACGAUCACUUCAUAGACGUCGCUUAAUGUACAAACCGAAGUCUAUGAUGUCCCAAAGACAUCGGUUAAUGCAAUGUUUGACGGCUUUAUAGAUGUCCCAAGUGUUACAGACCGACGUCUAUAUCGACCUUAGACAUCAGUUAGUGUAAUGUCUGAUGUCUUUGCAGACGUCAGUCUUUGAACUGAACCGAUGUCCCAUUAACGUCACCCGUAUAGACAUCGGUUAUGGUGGUGAUGUUAAAAGCCCAAAAUAACUGACGUUUAAAAUCCUUUCUGCACUAGUGCUUCCUCUAAAGUAAAUUUUUACAAUCAAAAUUCCUUACGUUUUUAUUGUCAUUUAAAUUUUCUUUUCUAAUUUUAAAUCAAAUAACUGAAAUUUUACAAGAAAGAAAUGUGGUAGCAUUUAACCCUAACAAAAGUAAUAUCUGUUAUGACGACAUUCAUAGGUUUACUGGUUCUAGGACAUGCAUUCAUCAACAUACUUACUGUCAAAUAUUAAAAAUAUAAAUAAAAGCUAAUUAAUAUAGGAUGCUAUCAUUAGUCCAUAAUAUCACACUUUAAGGCCUCCAUUUUACAAUUUUAAAAGAUAUGUUGAAAAUUAUAACACUAAAAGAAUUGUAUAUUACUACAAGAAAACAGUCAAUUACCGAAGGAUUAUUUCCGACGACCUCUAAGUAUUCGGUAAAUAUGAGUUACCGAAGGAUGUUCCGACGGUCAUGUUAUGUGUAGAUUACCGAGGGCUUUUGGCCAUCUGUAUUGGCACAGUGACGUUAUCGAAGGUAUAUGACCGUCGGUAUAUUGGUCAGACUUAAUGAAAUAACAAUUUGGGAUUUCAGCCUCCCAUUCUGCCAAAACUUAGUUUUCGCGAAAGCUUUCCCCUUCUUCCUCUGUCACCCAACCACUGUCCUUCGUUCCAUUAUUCCCCAUUUUUGUGAAAAUUUUCUUCCAUCGCUAUGUGUUUCUCGUUGGUUCCACCCUAAAUUUUGAUUUCGUCGAGCAAAGAGCUCUAUUUUCCAUUCCUUCUUCCUCUCGUGUCAUGGGGGUUCCCAGCCGCAACUCCAGCAUUCCUUCUUCGAAGGCAACCAAAGUCACCGUUGAGGUUCUUGCGUGGAGGGGUGAGUGGGUGAUAUCGUGGAGUGCGAGGGUGGUGUCACGAUGUGAGUAGGGAUUCGACUUGGCAAAGGAGUGCAUUACCCUAUUGUUGUUGCUGCAUGAGGAGGUCUUCGAGGAGGAGGUGAGUAUCGUGACAAGGGGCUUCCUGGUGCAUUGACAGCAGUGUACGGUUAGUCCAUUGUCCGAUUGUUAGUGCCUAUUAUGUGGUUUGUAUGAUUGGGUUUGCUUCCAUAGAUGAGUAUAUUGAUGUUGAUUGGAUUGUAAAGUUAAUUGAAUGCUAGGAAAAGUUCAUACUUUGGUCUCUGUUUCGUUGUUGAUGUGAUGAUAAUGAAGUAAGUAAAUUAUAUUUGGUGUACAUAACCACUUUAUGGCCAGUUUUCUUGAUGAGACUCUCAUUAUAUAUACAACACUUGCAAAAGACCAUGUCCCCUCAACAUCAAGGAACAUCCUUCUAUGAAAAUGAAAAGGCUAAACCUAGUCAUAAUUAGUUCCUCAUCAUUCUGAGCACCAGUUCUUGCAGCUCACCCAACUCAUUGUUCUUGUAUGCUCUUUCCUCUGUGCUUUAUAUAUCUUGCAUGCUCAUUCCAUCGUUCAUGCUACUGUGAUCAAUUGAUUCAAGAGAGCUUUCAGGAGAUAUAGGAUUCAUGUAAGUGGGACAAAAUGGAUGGUUCAUUGCUUCUCUUGCAACACAUUGAUUCCCUACCCACUGAUGAUUAUUAUUAUCCAUGCUCCUUGACUCCAUCAGGUUUUGAGCCAACACCAUUUGCUGGCACUGGGUACUAAUUUGGCUACCCUAUGACCUGAUACACACACCUUAUCAGUUUUUAAAUCUAGACAAACAUCAAUGGUCAAGCUUUUUGUGCCUUAAAUCUAUAACAACUUAGUUGUAUAUCACCAUGCAAAUUUAAUCCUUUUCAUUUACCUUACUUUAAUUAAUCCUUUCCAGUUACCCUUUUUUUUUCUUUCUUUCUUUUACUUCUUUAGCAACACCAUCUGUGUCAAAGCAAUUCCAGAUAAACAAAUAAAAGCACUUUGAAAGCAUGAUCGUCAAAACAUGUGAAAUGCAUCACUUUCAUUGAGGGAAUCAUUUUUCUAUUUUGCUUGAUCAUUUCAUUGGAAGAAAAACUUAGUUGUUUGUACAAAGCUUUUUAGGAUUUUGAAAUUUGAAUUUCCUACACAAACGAAACUGGUUUGUUGUAGUAGAUUUACUAGGAAAGUAGGAUUUGCAAUGAUAUUAAGCACAUAUCUUGGGGCCAACCUUUAAGUUGGACGACAUGUGAUACUCCCACAUCGGAAGAGUCAUUCCAUUGAUAUUCCAGUAUAGUAAAUGCAUCCACCGACACAUAUUCAGAGAGUCAGGGUCAGGGGAGCCCAUAAGAUUGUGAGCAAAAAGAGGCACCAAGUCAACCUCAGCUUCUGAAUCUACACUCAUCAUUCAAACGAACUGUGUAUCUUUGCCUGAUAUGGGAUGCUGGUAUACAAAACAAGGAGUCUGUCAUGUUGGCUGAGCAUAUUUAGUUUUCUGUCAGCACAUAAUUGUUCAGCCGUUAAGCAUAAUUUCUCCUUCCUUUGUCCAUGUUCUCUCUUUCUCCACACUUCCUUCAGAAUGUUUACUGGGGCAUAUUGGGGCUGGUUACUAUGAUUAAUCUUUAGUGGUAAUAGAUUGUAACAAGGUAUUUUAGGGAACUUGGUGUAUGAAAAUAAUGCAUUGGUGGCUAAAUAUUUUGGGGUUGGUUUAUGAGGCAUGUGAUUAGGUAGAUUACUACGUAAGUGCCUCACACAUGCUACAAUAUUGAAGCAAUUAAAAUAUACCACAAAAAAGUAAUCCAUCUUCCUUCUCUCUUCCUUUUCUCAAAAAUUGGAUCCCAAACACGUAACUCUCUUCCCUUCCCCAUGCAGCCCUGCAUGCUACCGUAAUCAUUCUCUACUUCAACACUAACUUCUCACCUUAUCUCCUUUUCUUCUUCUUCUAUUUUAAUCUCACUAAAACCAACCUUCUCACCUCCCCGUUAAUGUGUAAAGUAGUAGGACACACACAUCCAUGCAAUGCCACUUUCAUGGAACCUGUCAAGUAUCUCAAUCUCUCCUUGCUUUUGCUAACUUUUACCAAACUUUCAUAUUUCUCUUCAACACUUACCUAAAACUCUUACUCCAUAUCCGAACCCGAAAUCCUCCUUUUCCUUUUUGUUCUUCCCAAGCCAUUCAUUUCUUCACCCUUACCCUCCUUUCUCAUUAUCUUAAGUCCACCACACCAACCUCAGACAUUCUUUACGCUACAUCCUUCAAAGGCAACCUACCAAGCUUUUCUCCCACUUUCCUGAGCCUACCCUUUUAUCCUUUUACUCACAAUUAAGUGCAGAUUUUGUUCCAUUCAUUUGUAUUUGUGUGAAUUUGUAGUAAAAUCCAUGGAUGUCUAAUCUGAAUUGAAUUCAGUCUAGCUGAUAAUUUCUAGCUUCAUCUAGUGUAUUAAGACUUCCUUGAGUGAUUGUCAUUGUUGCUAUAGCUUUUGAAUCAAUCAAACUUGAUUUUGGUUACUUGAUGGGGUAUUUUUCUACAUAAAUUGGCCAUAGCAAGGUACGAUUUUGAUAUUUGCUAUUUCUAAGCUAUUUCAUACCUUGAACAAGUUUAAAAUGGUGUUUAAAAGUUGCUAGCAGAUUUGAAUUAGUAAUAUUGUGGCCUAAGUGUAGAGUUGUGUCGUAAACCAUCACAUUUUGAGUUAAAUUAGGAAGUGGCAAGGUGAAUUUGAGUAGCAAUCUGUUUUUAACUCAUUUCAGAGUUUGAACACGUUUCAAAUCACUAGUUAAAGUUGCUGAAGUGCUUCAUUUCGACUUUAAGCCACUCCUAUAGCCCAAUUUUGAAAUACCAUCUCCAUAUCAAAGUGAAUGAGAGAUUGAGUGUUUUAAACCUAAAAGAAACUUGCUAGAGGAGAUCAAGUAGCUAAAUCUCAAAAAAUUACUUACUUGAAACCUAAAAAAGUAUAUGCAGAUGCUAAAAAUAACUAGUCCAAGUUAAAAAAAAAUUGUACUACAAUUACAUACUGCACUCAACUAGGAAAAUAAACUACAAAUAAACUAUCCUAACAAGUUAAUAAUGGUAUAACCUAGCUAAUUAAGAACUCAAACUACAAAAAAUACCUAAAACUCAAAAUAUGACAACUUAGAACCUAAAAGUAGAACCUAAAAUACACUAAAAGUGCAAAGAAUGCAAAGUCUAUUAAAGUACUCACCAAAACAGUAAACUAACUAUCUACACAACUUUUAAAUGACAAAAGAAAGAUAAAAAUGAAGUCUCAAUUGAAAAAUAAUAAGAAAAACAGAAUUUGACUAUUGAACACCUAUAAAUAGACUAAAGUAGGUGAGAAAUUUGAAAUUCACCUAAAAUAGCCUAAGAAUGUCUAAUCUUCAUAUCCUAACAAGUUUAAAUUAGUAAAAUGAAUGUAAGAAAGAUGUCAAAUUGGAUGAAGUACCUAAAAAUUUAAAUCGGACUCCUUAAAACCUAAAAACAUGUACUAAAUAGGUGAGGAAUUGGAAAUUAGACCUAAUGUACAUUAAUUUUAAGUAAUGUUAACAUCCUAACAAGUCUAAACUAGUAGAAUGAAGUUAGAAAACUUGUCAAAAGCAAAGAAUCACCUCAAACUCAAAGUUUGAGUAUUUAGAACCUAAAAAGUUCACUUAAAGGGUCACAAAUUGUCAAUUCAGCUAAAGUAAAGUAAUUUUAAGUAAUGUUAACAUUCUAACAAGUCUAAAGUAGUUAAAUGAUGCUAGGAAAGUGGUGAAAAGCAAACAAUUCCCUAAAUCUCAAAAUCACACUACUUUAAACCUUAAAAAGUGUAGUAAAAUUGAGUCAUUGCAGUUCAUUAUUCGUUUUGCUGUGAUUCUGUGAUGUUUGAAAGUUUAAACAAGUCCAAAUUGAUGUAUUAAAGGUGUUAGAACCAUUGAUGUGAAGUUAGAAAUACCUGUAUGCAAUUUAGUAUGUCAAACCGUGAUAAUUGAGCCAUUUUUUGAAAUAUCUUAAAUAUUGGAUCAAAUUGAACUAUCAUUUCAAUAUAGUUAUGUAAAAUACAAUUUUAAAUUUGUAGUGAUCCUUCCUUAUUCUUUUUUAUGCAUUGCUAAGACAUUCACUUUAAUUUGUAGUGAUCCUUCCUUAUUCUUUUGUAUUGUUUCACUUUAUUUGUAAACAUUUCAAUGUAGUAAUGACAGGAGAAGGUUCAGACCGUCCUGAUAAAGGAAAGGGUAAAAAGAGGCAACGGUAGGCCCCAAAGUAUGUACUUAGGGUGCCUGCUGCACUACCUACCCCUGUAGUACACUGUCCCCCUACUAUUGCAGUACACCCUCCCCCUAUUACUACAGUACACCCUCCCCUUACUACUGCAGUACACCCUCCUCCUCCUACCCCUACAGUACACCCUUUUCGUCCUACCCCUGCAGUUCACCUUCCUCCUCCUACCCCUACAGUACACCCUCCUCCUCCUACCCGUACAGUAGAGCCUCUUCCUCCGCCUGUGAUUAUUACCCCCACUCCUCCUCCCAACCCUACUUUUAUACCUUCCUCAUCUUCUAGACCGCCUUGUGAGACUGCCACACCAUUUGCUGAUUCAGCUAGUGAUGGUGAUGGUGUUGACCCGCCCCUCCAUGAUCGACCAUGGAUUGAGCCAUAUGCCAAAGGGUAAGACUUUAAUCAUUUUUUUAACCAUUUUGAUGUUUAAAGAUCGCCUUAAUUCAAAUGACCUUUAUAUCUUUAUAUGUAGGUUUAUUCCAUCCAGGGUUGCUUCUCAGGCCAUCACACGAUCAAUUAAGCAACAGUAUUUGACUCCAUGGCCUACUUGGGGAGCAAUACCUAUAGACGACAGAAAGCCAUUCUGGGAGCGUAUUAAGGUGAACAACUUUAAACUAAUUGUCAUUCUUAUUUUAUUAUGUUCUUUAAUAAAUGUUUGUUUUGUUCAUCAUUACAGAUGAAGGUGCAAUGGAAAGCUGAACAUGAAACACAAAUACAUAGAAAUUUCCAUAUGAAAGCAUCUCAUCGGCUCUCAGAGAUGCUUAGGGAUGCCCGCAAUGCAGGGGAGCGCCCUUACUAGAUAGGCGAGAACAUUUGGAACGCUUUACUUGCAAAUUGGAAUUCAGCAAAGUUUCGCAACAAGUGUGCUACAACCAAGAGAAACAGAGCGUUUGAAAAGGGUGGCGCCUUGCAUACUGGCGGGUCGAUCACAGUUCACGAGUAUGCCAUUCGUAUGGUAAACUUUUUUUACUAUUUUGUUUCUUUCAUAUAUAACUUAUGUAUUUUCUAUUUCAUAUACACUUGUAAGUCUAAAUUAUUUACAGGCACAAGCUCUGGGACGGGCGGUCCAUGUUGACGAGGUCUUUGCACAGACCCACGUUCGGAAGGGCACUAAUGAAUUCGUUGAUGAAAGAUCUCGCAAGACUCAUGUAAGCAAGCAAAUAACAGUGCUAGUAUUAGUAAUACACAUGAUUAUGUUAUUGUAUAUAUCAUUCCCUAACGUUGCUUUUAAUGUUUCAACAGGAAGAAUUUUCCACGAGACUUUCACAAGUUAGAACCGAACAUGGGUCAGCUCCUACACCGAAUGAUGCGAGUAAUGCAGAUGACGACAUCCAUAGGACACAGUGUUGGGUCGAUGUCGUUGGUGGGAAGAAAAAGGGACGAGUCUACGGUGCAGGACAACUUGCUGCAAACUAUACAACAUCGAGAGGAGGUACACUUAAGCACCAACCUUCUUCUUCUUCCACCCCUUCUGCUGACGAGGCCAUCCAGCGCUUGACACAGCUAUUAGAGCAACGUGACCAGGAAAACCGUGAAUUGAGAGAAGAAUACAAUGACUUGAGAGACGAGUUUACAAACUUCAAGUCCCUGGUCAUGAGAGCGCUGCCUCAAACUUCAGACACUCCUUCGACCGUCCCUCCGACCCAGCCACGACCUUCCCCGUUACCCGCCGUCCCUCAGCAACCCACAUCAGUCCAGCGCACAUCAGUCCAGCCCACACCAGUCCAGCCAUCUACAAAGGAUCAGCAGGACGAUGAAGAUGAUUCUGAUGACUAUGUAGUAUUUUAGUUUUAUUUUGUUAUUGAUCAUAGAUGUUAGAACGUACUGAUGUUAGUACAUUUGAAUUUUAGUACAUCAUGAUUUUGGUACAUUAUCUUUGGUCAUGGAUGAUAUUGUUUUAUAUAUUAAACUUUACAGAUCAUGUUAAUAUGCCUUUUUUUCAUCAAUGAUAUUAUUGGAUGAUUUUGAGAUGCACAAAAUGUAGCUCUGUCUGUGGUUUGAAAUUUGUAUGCAGGUCUGUCUGUGUUGUUGUGAACCUUGUUAUGCAGGUAUUUGUGGUUGGAUAACAAAUACAAAUAUGACUUACUUUUUUUUCGACUGUUACCAAAGGCUUUCGCCCCUUCGGUAAUUACCGAGGGGCACAAGCCGUCGAUAAGUGUUAGCGACAAGCAAAUUACCGAGGGAUUUUUUACCGUCGAUAAGCCGUCAGUAAUACCAUAUUACCGACAAUUUAUGGUUGUUUUCGAGGGAUAUUGACCGUCGGUAAAGCCUUUCUUUACUGUAAUUUUAUUCCAUUAAAUAAUUACUUUUAUUAAUAUAAAAUUAGGGUAAGAGUUUAGAAAGUUUUAAAUAAUGAUAAUCGAUUAUUUUAAUAUAAAAGUUUAAAGUAUAAAUAAAAUUUAUGUAAACGAGUUUCAUUAUUUAAAAUUAUAUCAUUUUUCUAUAUUUCUAUUUUUAGAGCUCUUUACUCUUUUUCUAUAUUUUCUAUAUUUAUUUACUGAAGAUGAGAGAUUACUUGAGUGAUUCUUGAGUCGAGAUCUUCUACUUCAACUAAUUAGUUUCUACAAAAGAGUAAGUUGAUUUAUACUUUUUUUCUUAGUUUGUGCAUUUUUCUAUGUAUGUGACAUUUGAGUCUUUUAUAAGACUUUCUGCUUAUUAAUGGAUCCAACGUGUCGUGAUCAUGUUUCUGUUGUUCGUAGGAGUAGAUAAAAUGUCAUAUGCAUGUGGAGUUGUCUUAGGACCAUCUUGAGUUUUUGUCAUCUAUCAAAUAAGGAAAGCUAAAUGUUUUAUUCUGCGUGAGUUAGAUAUUAUUGGUUGAAUUUGGUUUGUUGAAUUUGAUUUUCUUUUUGUACUGAAUUAUAUGGUAUGUUUGAUUGCUUGAAUUGAGUGUUGGUUGUGCUUGGACUAUAGCGAUUUAGGAAACUGAGGAAUUGACCAUUUGAUCUAGUUGAUGUUCAUUCUGACAUUAAGAACUUGUUUUGAACUGACCAUUGAAUCAAUAAUACCAAUUUGAUUAUUUGAACAAGUCCUUGAUUUUCCAAAUCACAAAAUUAAAGUGGAAAAUUUCUGAUAUGGUGUUGAGCAAGAAUGAUGUGACAUUGAGCGCUAGCUUGACAUUUCAGGUCUGAAAGCAUUUUAGCUUCUGACCGUUGAGCACCACUUUUUCUUGUUGUGCGAUCAUUUUUGCGAAUGGUUUGGUGUUAAGCAGUGACAAAAUACUAUUAAGCAUCACUCUCUACUAUAGGUCUUGAACCUUUCAAGUCGAACUCGCUAAGUGACCAAAUGGUCUCGUUGAGUAAACCAUCUUGUGAGAAGAAUGGCGUUGAACACCAUUCUUACCGCUAAGCCAAUUUAUAUUCCAUGCUUUUUGUUAAUUUCUUUAGUUGUUUGGUAUUGAUCUUUAUCAUUCUUGAUGUUGCUGGUGAGUAUAAUGAUUAUAUAUAUAUAUAUAUAUAUAUAUAUAUAUAUAUAUAUAUAUAUAUAUAUAUAUAUAUAUAUAUGACAAUUAUGAUAUGUUGAUGUGUUGUUUGAUUAUUGAGAAAAUUUCAAGGAGAAAUUCUAAGUCUUGGUGAAUUGUUAUGUUUGACAUAUGAGAGUUCAAAAAGGAGAUAUCCUAUAUACUACAAGUCAUUCAACUCAUAUAACGAUGAAUGAAGUGGGAGAGAAAAUGAUAGAAGGCUUUACUUUAGACUUUUGGUCUUAGGCGUGAAAAAUUUACCUCGUGAAUAAUAGAGUGAUAACCUCUGUGUUUGACUCUGCAAAGCAUAAAUACAACUACGAAUGCAUACAUACAAUGAAAAACCCUACAUCAAAGCAUGUAUGCGAAGAGUUAAGUCUAGAGUUAUUUAUAUGAUUAUUGGUAAAAGUUAUGGUAUUCAUAAAUGUUGAAAUAAUAUGUCAUAUGUUUUAAAUGAUUUAUGAUGCUUUCUUUUAAACACUAGCUUACCAUUUUUAUUUUUUUUAUGUUGUUUAUUUUUUGCAAUGAUUAUAUAUGGAUGAUUACUAUUGAUGUGAACAAAUGUUAAGUUAAAUACAAACAUGAUUUUAGUGGAGGCCAACGACGUUGCUGAGUCAGCAUUUAUUUCUUUUAACUAAUUUUUUUUAUCACAAUUUCUUAUUUUUUGAAAAUUAUAUUUAGUUUUUUUUACCUUACAUAUAAUAUGUUAAAACAAUUAUUACUUUGAAUAAUUAUAUUAAUAUUUUAUAUACUUUCGAUCUAUCUCAUAUGCAUUAUUAGAAUAUAUAAUAUUUUAGUAAUUUAUACUAAAUGAAAUGCUAUCAUUGUCAUAUAAAAUCAAAUACUACUUAUUUAAUGUGUCAUUUUCCAUGAAAAAGAUAAAAACAUUAAAUUCACCUAUGCAUUGCACGAGAUAACUGUAUAUGAACGAAAACAUGUAACAUAAGAAAUGUUUUUCUAGUCUGAUUGUGAAUAUAAUAUUUUCAAAACAAUAUAAUAACCCUCGUAUAAUUAUCUCUUAAAAUAAAAAUGAAGUAAAAUCCAAAGUAAUAGUUUCUUAAUAAUUGAUCGUGCAUGCGAAUAUAUUUAAAGCCUGUAUUGUUGGAAUGCUGUUAAAUACCCACUUAGGAGAGGAGUGCCAACAUAAUGCAAUCUUUAUACGUGAAUCUACUACAGUGUCAGUUUUGGAUAAUUAAAUAAUCAAACAUCCUUUUAUGAGCAAAACAAAAUUAAGAAUUUUUAAUCUGUCGAAAGUGAGACCUGUCAAACACUAGAACAAUGUCCUUAUGAUGACGAUGCCAAUUUGGACCUACUGCUGCAUCGAUAUGUUUACUAGUGUCAUGUGAACUUUGGAUUUGUUAUUGCUUGUCUCUAUCGUGAACAGUAGAGCUACUUGUGCCCGUGACUGAAUUACAACAAAAUAAUUAAGACAUUGAUGUUAGGGCUGCCACCAUUCAUUCACGAAAUAUUGAAGAAGAAAAAAAUGAAAUUAUUGAAGCCUGUCCCAUUAUUUUUCAUCUUUAGAAACUUUUUAAUCAGGAUGACUGUGACACCUAACCUUUGCAAGUUUCCGAUCCUUUUAUUUGGGAAGAGUUGUUUUUCUCCAAGUUACAUUGAUAGGUAAAAUUUUGAAGAAAUAAUUUUGAAUAACUAUGAUAAAAUAUAUUCAAGAUUUCACGCUGAUUAUAAAAUAAUUUUAUAAUAUAUAAUUGUUGUGUGCAUCGACAAAUAAGUUUGAGAGAUUGAGAGUUAAAACAUUAAUAAGAUAAAUUAUAUUUGAGUGUCAAACUUUAUGUUUGUCGACCAACUUUGUGAAGGUCAAGGAAUGAAACGUGAAAGAUAAAAAUACCUUCUAAGGUUAUCUAAAAGUUGUUUCAUGCAUUCCAACAAGCUUCACUGGUUAUAAACGAGAGAUGAUUGUAUUUUACAAAAACAACGUGAGCAAAAAACAAUUUUACAAAAUGCUUUUUUUAUGAGAAGAAUGUUAUAAGAUGAAUAUGUAACUUUUUAGAAACACUUAGUUGUCAUUUGUCAAACAUUAAUAAAAGGGAAACAUGAAUGAAAUAUAUAUAUAUAUAUAGAGAGAGACAAAUAUUAUUUUAAAAAGUCUUUUUCUACCGGUUAAAAAUAUAUUUUUUAUAUUAAAUUUAAAAUGGUAUAGAAUCAAGGAGUAUAAAAAGUAUUGGUUUUGGAAUCAAUAUAAAAAAUCCAAUUUUAAUCCAAAUUUUUUACAUCAGUCCAAUAUAAAAAGUAUUGGUUUUGGAAUCAAUAUAAAAUUUUGACAUUCUAUCAUGGUUUAACUGUUAACCAGUAUAAUAAGCUUCACUUUUAUACUGAUUAAACCCUCAACGGUAUAAAAAAUGUCACUUUCUAUGCCGGUUCAAGCAUUAAUCAUUAUAAAAAAGCUCGUUGUUUUUAUUAGCAAGUUUGUGUAUGUUACCUACCACAUACAAACUUGCAUAAAAUUCAUACUAUAGUCCAGAACAAUAAAGAUGACAUAUAAAAGAAAUAAAAUAAUGACUAUAUUUUCUUCUAUUUACAUAUCAUAUAACACUUUCUAACCUAAAAAAAUGAAUACAUCUAAUAUUUGAAAUCACAGGGAAACACUAGAAAGGGGUGGGGUGGGGGGUUAAAUAGUGUAUUAAGACUUUUUGUAAAUCAACGUUAAAUAUCUAUAGUAGGGGUUAGAUGAUUUGUAAUAGUUGUUGGACGUGUGUUCUAAAUAAAGAGUUUAGGAAAAAUGUUUUAAACAGGAAAAAUAAUAACAUAAGUAUUUUAUACUAGUUCACUCAAUCUUAAGUUACGUUCAGUCUUCCUCAAGAACACUUGAGAGGUUCCACUAAUCUUAUCCAAGAUUACGAACGAGUACAAAUCAUGUAAGACCCGAAGAAAAUAAAAUAGAUUUAAACAUUUAUUAUUUUAGUAAUAAAAUAAAAUAUUAUGGUAAGGUGUUUGUGUGUUAAAAGUGUCAGUUUGAUAGAUAAAUUUAAUUAUAAUUGUAUUAUGUUGUUUUGAUGUGGUGCAUGGAAUAAGUGUUUUAUAUACAUGUAUUUGUAUAUGUAUAUGACAGUGAAAGGGAACUGCGUAGCGGUUGUUACGUAUGUGCAUAUGUUUGUGGUUUGUGGCCAUGGGUUCGAACCCUACGAAAAAGCACUCUCUUUAAUUUUUUUUUAUUUUUUUCAUGCAUGAUCCUUAGAUGUUUUGAUGCACUCUCCUUAUUGUUUUAGUACUCUGACAUUAUUUUUGUAUGGUAUGUAUUCAUCUCUGAAUUCUUGGUUGGUAUGUGUUAGCAUAAGUAAUAUAUGUUUUAACAUGUUGUGAGGCUAGCAUUAGAUUAGAGUUUCCAAGUGUGUUGGUGGAUAUUAGUGGAUGGUUGUUGAAGUAAAAUGUGUUAUAAGUGUCGUGAACAUAUAAGUGCGGUGAACGAAUGAGAACAUGGUGCAAUAUCUAAACAUGGUGGUAUAGUAAUGUUUGACUUGAUGGAGAAAUCCUUCCUGUUGUGCAUGUCCAUGUUGCGUUUUUUUUACGUGAACAAUGUAUGGGUGAGGUUUUGAAAUGGGUAAAUCGUGGCAUUUGGAAACAAAGAUCAAAUACAAGUGUAACCUAAUCAAUAAAAUAUUGUUCCUUCCUAUAAAUACUGUUAAGACAAAAUCGUCUAUGCGUCUAAACGUUCUCAUGUUUUGAAGUUUAACCAAAUAACAUUAAAUGGAAUAAUAAUUUGAAAACGGCAUAGGAAGAAACAUAAGACUUAGAACCAAAAUUCCCAACAUAGAGAACCCUUAGGAAAACACUUAGGACUUUAGGAAACAGAAAAACAACUAAGUCAAAAGACUAUUAAGUCAAAAGCGUCUAAGAGAGUUAAAGGUAAACGCGUAAAACUUAUUAUACCCAAAAAGUAUUCAGUUUAAGUCUUGGGAAAAUGAAACAAUGUCAAGACGAUGUCAUUGACAAAAAACAAUCUAAAAGAAUAAAAUGCAAAACAGCAAAGAAAACACAAACAAUGCUAAACGUUGUCUAUAAAAAAGGCAAACUCAUAAGAAGUGUUUACUCUUAAACGCUACCAUGAGCUAAACUAUUACUUCGUCUAACGAUGAAAUCUUUGCUCAACACUUGGUAUCUUUGGAAUACACGCGUAAUUGUUAAACGCUAUAUUAACGGUAAGAAAUCAAAAAACACUUUGUUGUUAUGAGAUAUCAUUAAAUGACAUUAAAUGCUCAAGUUCAAAAACAACAAAAGUAAUAAGAGAAAAGACAUAUUUGUUGCAUGCACAAUAUACUAUAUAUUCUUUGUAGAUGAGCUACUCUACACCCAUCCACAAACUUUAAAUUCAAAAAUUAGAAGUAGACAUUAGAGACAAAAGGGAUAUUCAUAGAAUGUUCCUCACUUGAAGCGAUGUCUAAAAGAAAGUACAACCUACUUCAAGAAAAGUACUGAAAAAGCAUGCAUGCUCUGACAAGUUGACUUUUAACCAACGACUGUUGUACACGAAGAAAAAUAAGACACAAGAAUCAAGGUCAAAAGCUUAGUCUAACGGACACUUAUCCAAAAAGCCUUUAAAUAAAAGAUCAUUCAAAUGAAGAAUUAAGAGGAUAGUAUACAACUAAGUAUUCAUCCUUUAAGAAGCGUUCAAAAGAAAAACACGGAAAGAGCUCAAGAAAAAGAAAACCUCUGAGCAGAAAAAGAGAACAAGAGAAAAGAAGAAAGACAAUACUCUCGAGCUUCAUUGCAAUAUUACUUAUUGAUUAGAAAGAGAGAAAGAGAAAAGAGAGAAACACCUGCAAGUGUUUAGACUGCAUUGUUAUAUAAUUACAUCCUCUCUGCGAGACUAAUAGUUUGAAUGACUUGUAAGCAAUCGUUGAUUGCAAUUUUGAAGAGAAUUAAAAUACUUGUCGAACUAGGCAAGGUUGUCUAGUACUGGGAGUGGUUUGAAUACUCAUCUAGUCAAGGGUAACAGGAAGUUUUUCGCGGACUGAGAUUUCAAAUAUUGUAACCAUUCGGGGAAGGGCUAGGAAAUAUAAAUAGGUUUAUUUACUAAUUUACAAGGGUGGCAAAUUAUGGAACAAUCCAUACACUCUUAAACAUCACGAAUAGAAAAAAAAUGGCUAAUCCAAUGUUGAUUGUUUCAAUUGGGGUUACUGCUUUCUUUAAUUUUUAUUACAAGUUUCUUUACUUUUUUUUUUUUGGUAAUUUAUUUUUUCUACAAGUUACUUUACUUUGGUGUUCUUACUGUUUCACUAUAUUUCAAUCGAUGACCACAUCCACCUUUUGAGUUCAACAACCAUCCAUUGUUUUUACAUUCCAUCUACAUAUUCACCAAAAUUCCAAAACAAACAAAAAUAUUGACUUGUUAUGCACGAAAUUCUUACGAAAAUCCACAUAAGAAAACAAUUGAGUUCAUUGAGUGUGUGGGUUAAAUUGGUGCAUAGAAUUAAUAAUCUGUAUUAAGUUAGUUCUUUGCAUCGAUAUUGAGGUGUGAAAACACCAUAGUUAAGAUUGAAAAACUAGUGUUUUUUAGUCCUAUAGAGAAGAACUCACAUUGGAGUGCUUUAGUGGUAAAACAGUAAGAAAUUGAUUGAGACUUAGUCCUCAAAAAACAAUAAUAUAUAUAAAUUUAAUUUUAUAUAUUUAUUUUUUAAGAUUAAAAUAACUAAUGUGUGAAAAAUUUAAAGUAACGGAGGAAGGAAAUGUUGAAUUGUGUUUUAUGAUUUUUUAUUAUAUCAUUUGUACAAAUUCUAUAAGACGAUAAAAAGAUAAAUAUAAACACUAUGGAAAAUGUUUUUUCAAAUUAAUUUUAAAUUGUUCAUUUCUUUUUUUAGUUUGUUAACACUCAAUAUAAAAGAUUAAGAAAAACAAAAAGAUACUCAUUAUUUUUAUACUAUGUUGUCUUGUCACACAAACUACAUCUAAUUAUUCAAUCAAGUUUCAUUAUGUAGGCUCAUAAUGUGUUGUACAGGUACUCUUUUUAAGAAAUUAAUUACUUCUAAUUCAACUAAGUAUUCUUUCAACAAGCCACUCCUAACUUAACCCAAAGAACCUAUUGCCUUAACAUGAGUAUUCUUUCGACUCUCAAUCACUCUUAGUUGAACUUGUUCAAGUAUUCUCUAACAUAAACCACUUUUAGCUUAUUUAGAAUAAUUUUUAUACCCUUUUUCAUGAAAACGUUGUUUCCUUGUUCUUCUUCUUCAAGAAAUUUUUAAAUCUUUUUACGAAAAAGAAUUAGAUUUGCUGAUUCAUUAUAAUUUCAUCUGGUUCCUCUUCAUUCUCAUCUUCCUUCAAUACAAGAAUGGAUGCAGUUCUUCUAUUCUUUUCUCCCAUGCUAGGUAUGAUAAUGCACUAGUAUUCUCACCAAAGAAUGGAAGGGUUUGAAUAUGGUAUGUUUGGAUACAUGCUGAUGUGUGUUUGCUUAAGUGCGAUUUCAUGUAUCAGUUUAGAUUAAUUUUUUGUUGUUGUGUGGUUUUUAUAUGAAAUUAGAUGUUUGGGUGCUUUAUGCUACUAGAUGAGUGAAUAUGGGUAUGGAAGCGAGUUUCAGAUUCAUAUGGUGUGCUAAUAUACUUUUGUGGCUAUUUUAUAAUGCAUGGGUUGUUAGGAGCUCAUUACAUGAAUUUAUGUGAUGUUAUUUGACCUAUUUAAAAGUUGUCUAGACUAUUUGAUUGUGUAUUUCACUGAGUAACAUGGAUAUACUAGUUUAGAGUGAGUUUGAGACUAAAUAGAAAUUAGACAACUUUAUGGGAGAGAGCUGUGACUGGAUAUGAUUGCAACAAAUUCAAGUGUAUGAGUGUAGGCUUUGAUUUUACAAUGUUUAAGUCAAAGAUUGUUUAAAUAAAGUUGGAUCAUGAUAAUGUGCCUUGGAUUACAAAUGGUUAUUUGAAAAAUUAUUUGGAUCAAUAAUGUAAGCAUGAUCUAUUUGUAAUUAGGUGCUAAAACUUGUACAUGAUGUCAUGUCGAUGAAUUUUUUUAUUAAUUAUAGGUGGCCAUUAAGUGGGCAUAUUUAUGGUUUGGUGAUCUAUAUGCGAAUUGUUCUAGAAUUGAUUUAGUUUUGUGGCGACCUUUGUAGCUUAUGGUUUGAAUGAUAAAAAUAUACGUAGAGCUUUCUUGCUAUUUAUAGUUGUGCAUAGAUUGUGGUUUUGUUUUUUAUGAUGUAAAAUACAUUAAGCAGUUUGUUGUGAUGUUUUUUUGAUAUGUUUCGGGAAUUAUUGUUGUUAUUGUAUUAUGAAAAUUAUGUGCUUAAAAGUUUAUGUAAUUUUGGAGGAGUUUAUGAAGUUUAGCAUUAUCUAUGUUUUCGGUUUACUGCAAUCCUCGGGACAAAAAUUCUUUUGAGGAAGGGUGAUUGUAAGAUCCGGGAAAAUAAGGGUUUUAAAAAUAAAGUAGUUGAAAGAAAAUAGGAGAUAUAAUUUUGAUGGGUGAUGAAUGCAUAUUUAUGCCCACAUUUAUGUUUUAAAAUUCAAAUUUUUGAUGAGAUUCUUAUGCUUAAAUGAUUGAUUUAAUAUGAAUUUAUGACGAUUGGAUUUAUUGGGUUUGGAAAUUAAAGAUGCUUAAAAUGUUAUUCUUAGUUGCAUAAAUUAUUUUGGGUGUUCAAAUGUUUAUUUGUGCAGCUAAAGUUAGAAUUUUAUUCAUUUAAAGUAUGAAAUUGGAUGGUCAAAGCUGGUCCAGUCGGGUCAACUCACGGCUCCUAUGCAAUUUUGAAAAGAAAAAGAUGACUAAAGUGCAAUUAGAGAAAAAUUUUGGACUUUUGUUCAAUUUAAAUAAAAUAAAAAGGGUUGAAAUGUAAUUUUGGGCAAGUUUAAAUAUGUUAGAUAUUUUAAAACAUAAUUUGGAUAAAAUAUAUCUUAAGAUAUUUUAUUUAAUAUAGUUAAAUAAUUAUCUUAUUUAACUAUAUCAAUAAAUAUAAAAAAAAAUAUUUUCCAAAUGUUUUUGAAUCUAGGAAAGAUAUUAUCAAAUAUUCUCAAAAACUGAUUAAAUCUGUUGAAUAUUUGGAAGAUAUUAGAUAUAAGAUAAAAGAUGUUAUCAACAGAAUAUUCAAAGUCCAAGCCUAAUAAAGCCCUAUAUAAAGAGACCCAAGGGAGGCAGAAAUCAUACUUCAUUCAUUCUCAGACUCCUCCAAUGGAAGCCAUCAUCCACCACUCCUCUAACUUUUAUUUCAUCACGUGCUUCACUCCAUUCAUGAAGUGCUAAGCUUCUAGGGCUAUUCCACUGUAAUUUCAUUAUGGAUUCUAAGGUUAAGUUGAAUUAAUAUAUUUGUUAGGUUUGAUUAAGAAUCUACUUUGAUUGAAUUUAAGAACUUUCAUAUGAUUAAAUAAGUUUUUGCUAUCAAUUGAGAAUGUACUAUGGAAGAAAUAAUGAAAAGACUAAGAAUUUGGCUUGGAGUGUAUUGAUAUGCUUGCUUCUGCCAGGGAUACAAAACCUAGAGCCCCAGGGUCCUUUAAAUAAUGCCAAAAGUGUCCCAAAUUGCAGCCUGGUCCAAAAGAAUCAAAUUAGAGCAGAAACAGGGUCUGAUCCACGUCAAAUCACGCUCAAGCGUCGUAGCAGGGAGCUCGCCCGAGCGUGAAUCAAGGCUUCUGUAAGGCUUGGGUGCCAGUUUACAGCGCCUAGGCUACGAACGUCCGUCGUCUGGGCAACCAGCGGUAAUUUCCAGCUCGCUGUUUCGCGUUUUUGUCGCCUGGUUCUCGCCUGGACUUUGGGUUUUCUCCCUUCUUGGUGUCUUUUUGACCCCUUUUGAGCUCCGUCUUCAUGACUUUUCACUUCUUCUUCCAUUCUUACUUCAAUUUCUGUCAAAAUAAGGGGAAUUUGUUAGAAACCAGUUAAAAUCAACCUCAACUCUCUUAUUCACACAAUUUACUGAAAACAUAUGAAUUCAAGCAAGUUUCUAAGUCAAAAAGGGUGCUUCUAGUAUCAAAAUCAUAUAGCAAAUAACAGUAUUUUAAUCCUUUAUCAGUUGAAUUCAUUGUGAAUAAUCUAGAAAGGUCUUGCAUUUGAUUGAGAAUCUACUUUGAUUAUUUGUAAGAUCACCCUCAAAAUAAUUGAGAAUGUACUUCAGUUAAUUUGAAACCUGAACAAUAAUCAAUUGAAUAAUAAUCUAUGGAUAACCGAUGAUGAAUCUAUCUUGGAAAAGCAAUGAAAUUAGCCUAUUUCAUUGUAAUUGUUUUUAAGUUUACUAUUUUUUCUUCAACAUUAACUUCAUUAGCAUAGUUUCUCACUUUUAUUCUUGAGCAUUGCAUAACAUUCAUAAGAGUCAAAUAUUGAAAAACAAUUUUGUAUUCAUUGGGAGACGACUCGGGAUUACUUUAACCCUAUCUACUUUCUUGAAUACUACUUGACAAUACUGAAGUUGCCUUUAAAAGUAGUAUUAAUUUGAUAACUUCAACGACAACGUAUCAAUGGGUUUAGAUAUUAAAAAAAGAUAUUAUUAUUUAUUAUUAGUUACUGUAGAUAUUUUAAAUGAUAUAUGGAGAUAUUAUUAUAUAUAAUUAGAUAUUAUGGCUAGAUAAUAAUAAUGUAUAUUAUUAUAUAUAAUUAGAUAUUAUGGCUUGAUAAUAAUAAUGUAUAUUAUAAGUGACAAAAUAUUAGAGAUAAAGUUGGGUGGAUUCAUAAAUAUUAAGAUAUAGAGAAAGGGAUGAUUUUGUUUUCAGAAACCCUAGAAACUCUAAAUCAAAGAAAGAGAACAAAGGAAGAAAAAAGAUGGGUGUUUUGGGAGAAAAAAACCUUGCAUCAACAACUUUGUUUUGGAGAAUUUCAUAAAAUCUACACCGGUGUUUUCGUCGUUGUGAAGUUGUUCACCAUUGGAUUGGACUGAUUUUUGGACAGUGGGUUCCAGAUGUAUGGUUCUUCAUUUUGACUGCUCGAAUCAUCAAUCGGAGGUCUAGUUUGGGAGAAAAUAGUCUCGCAUUAGCAACUUUGUUUUGGAGAUCAUCUUCUUGGUUCUCAUUUGUAAGCAUGAUGUUUAGUUAGUUUGGCUGAUCGAAAACCCUAUUUUGGUGUUUUUAUCGGAGACUCUUUUGCACCCUAUUAUUGGGGGUAUAACAUGUUAAUGACUGGAUCUAGAUGAUUCAAGUGAUGUAUUAUAUGUGUUUCAGUAUGUUUAUAUGGGUAUGUGAUGCUUAAAUGCAUGUAUGAUGCGAUAAAUAUGUUUCCACGUGAUUUAGGGUUGAUGUAUGCAAUUUUGAAUGCUUGAAUUAUGUCUAGGAUGUGUUUUGAUUCAGUAGUAAUCGAUUAUCAUUAGUUAUAAUUGAUUAUCUACACGUUGAUUUUAAGUGUGGUUUCGGGAAUAAUCGAUUAUCUGGGAUGAUAAUUAAUUAUAAUUGAUUAUCUACACGUUGAUUUUGAGUGUGGUUUCGGGAAUAAUCGAUUAUCUGUAUUGAUAAUUAAUUAUCCCUUCCUGCGUGAUGUUGUUCAAAAAGUAGGAAGUGAUUAGUGUGGUGGUGGUGAUACCUUUAAAGUUAGGGUCUUUUUUUCACCUGUGUGAGGUAGGGGAAGAGGAUGGGUUACGAGAAGAGCGGUAAUGGUUUUCUGUGAUCAUUGGUUAGCCUAGUGAGAGAGUCAUGGUGUUGAACCAACCAAGUGGUGUGAUGAUAGGUAUGUUUUAAGUAUGGCUUUCUGGCUAUACUUAGUUAAUUUGGGUUGUACCUUUUCUCUUUCGAGGGGGUAGAAAGGUUGUCACUUUUACUCUUGUGAGGAGUUAGAAAGGUAGUGACCUUUCCUUUUUCGAGGAGGUAGAAAGGUGGAUCUCUUUGUCUUUAAAAGGCAGUGGAAGAGAUGGAUCUCUUCGUCCAUGAGAGCGGUGGAAGAGAUGAGUCUCUUUGUCCAUGAUGCGCGGUGGAAGGGACAUGGAUUCGAAUGCUGCUCUUUCCUUUUUUGAUGGGGUAGAAAGGUAGUCACCUUUCCUCUUGUGAGGGGGUAGAAAGGUAGUCACCUUUCCUCUUUCGAGGAGGUAGAAAAAUAGAUCUUUUCAUCUUUAAAAGGCGGUGGAAGACAUGAGUCUCUUUGUCCAUGAGGGUGGUGGAAGAGAUGAAUCUCUUCGUCGAUGACGGGCAAUGGAAGGGACAGAGAUUCGAGUGUUGCUCUCUCCUCUUUCAAGGGGGUAGAAAGGUAGUCACCUUUCCUCUUGCGGGAGGAUAGAAAGGUGGAUCUCUUCGUCUUUAAGUGGCGGUGGAAGAGACAGGUCUCUUCGUCCUGGAGGGGUGGUGGAAGGGACUGGGAUUCGAGUGCUGUUCUUUUCUCUUGCGAGCGGGUAGAAAGGGAUGAAGGUCUCGCCCGAAGGGUUCUGACUCGUGUUGAGUUUAGUGUUGGGGUGAAUAGUUGGGAACAUGGGAGACAUGUCCAAAGCUAUGGUGGAGGACCACUAGAAUCAUCUUUUUUUGAUAAACAGGAAUGAUACAGUGAAGUAUGAAAGUUGACAUACAUUUAUAAUGAUGGUUGGAAAGGCACGAGUUGCCUUAAAUUGGCAGAUGAUGUAGAGGUAAUGGGUUGAACAUGAUUUUGUUUAAGGGAAUGUAGGUGUCUUAUCACAUUGGUUGUUAUAAUCUUAUUAUGAAUUGAUGUUGUUUGGAUUGAUGGAAUUGUUAUAAGGACUUAACUACUGUGAUAUAAAUGUUAUAUUGGUGAUUAGGUGUUUAUUUUGGUAUUAUUCUGAGUGCAUUGAUCAAUUUAUGAUAAUGUUGUAAGGAGAUCUAAAUCUCUAUGGUUGUCAUUGUAGAUGUUGUGUAUUUCCUUGAUCACGUUAUUUGGUUUAAACAUUGGGGUUUUUGGUGGUGUAACUCAUGCAUGAGGGGUAGAGUUCUCUACCGGUGUAGGUGUGGUUCUUGGGGUGUGUUGCUUUGAUUUUACUCAUGGGUGGUUUGGGUAGUAACAAAUAAAUUAUCUUAAGUGAUAAUCGAUUAUUACAAUGCAUUUUGGUGAAAAUGGCCAAUUUAAUGAAGAAUGGACAUGAACCAAGCCUGAGGAGUUGUGGAACAUGAUGAUAAUCAGAGAUUGAGGUUAGUGGUUAUGUUUAGGCUUAGUUUGACUUGUGGUUGAAAGUGGAGCAUGAGUGAGUGUUGGGAUGUACCUAAGUAUGUGAUUGAUGAGCAUGAAAGUGGAGGAUAAGUCUACUUGUUGUACCUCGUAAAUCUUGGUUCUAUCUACGGAUAAGUGCUUCCUUUUGCCUUGUGUGCAUUGGAAGGAGAUGAUAUGUAGGGGAAGCUACAGGUGGAUCGUAGGAGCGGUUAUAGUUGGUGAGGUAGGAUACAAGAGUGAAAUGAACUCUUUGCACUAUGGUAUUGUGGUACGAUAAUGCUCAUGGUGUUGUUCAUGACUAGGAUAGUCAUGAUGGUGGUGUAUCUACGAUGAUGAUCAUGAUACUUGAGAUGCUCCAGGUUAUGUUAUGUUGAUAAUGGUGCUAAUGAGUGGAUAAACUAGGGGUCUAUGUGUGAGAUGUUAUUGAUCACAUCAAGGGUUAGAGAUCAAAGAUCGAUGAUCUAAGUUCAAGGAAUGGGGAUCGAGGAUUGAGUAAUUUAGUAUGAUUGAAUUGUUUAUGUUAGAGGAUUGGUAAUUCUAUUGUUAUUACUACUAUGUAUGAGGUGUUUGAUUAUGGUUGAUAUAAUCAAAAGAUAUGUAUCUUGUUGUGUGUUUGAUUAUGGUUGGUAUAUUCAGAAGGUAUGUAUCUUAUUGUGUAUUUGAUUAUGGUUGAUAUAAUCAGUAUGUAUGUUUCUUAUUGUUAUGAUUGUUUUAUCGGUAGCUUACCACAUACAUGUUUGUGUUUGCGUGUUUGUGAAUGAAAUUAUCGGUGAUGAUCGUAUAAUGCGUUAUACGUGAGCAGAUAAUGUUACAAAUGUUCUAGAGGCGUGAUUGACUCGAAAAAGGAUGAGGAAUAACCUUGGGAUUCAUUCAAAGUUAUUUUGUUUUAGAAGUUAAGACAAUAUAGUUGGAGUAUUUCCUUGGUUAUUUUGUUACUCGAAAUAAUGUAAUUGGAUAAGGUUUUCUUUAAGUACAUUUUUGCGUUAUGAUAAAUUUUGAAUUUUACCGAUUUUUAAUAACCCGUGACAUCCCAGAAAUUGGGGUGUUACAAAGACAACCUUUUUAGAACAUCACGGCUGUUGGAACGACAUCAAUGUGCUUAAACAAAGUUGGUUAAAGAUGGUACAUGCAUAUGCUUUUACUUUUACUUUUUGCUUUUGCUUUUUGUACUUUUUGUCUACUUUUUAUUUUGUACCUUUGGUCUUUUCUUUUUCAUGAAAUUUUUAGCACAAACACACCAAAUGGGACCCCAAAUCUGGAAUGUUAUAAGGAGUUUGAAGAUCAUACAAGCUUAUAGCACCAAAAUGAAGAAAACCUACUACAAUCAAGUAUAGUAUGAAACACAGAAAAUGACAUAAUGGAAACCUAACUCUUUGAACUUGUUCAUGAUUUAACAACAAGUAUGAGCUAAAAUAUAUAAAAUAAAAGCACUCAAAGGUACAAAUAUGGUUAAGUUUUUGGAAAUCACUUUAGCAUAUAUUUUUUAUGAUUUCCAAAGUUUCAACUAGGAAGUAAAGACAUCAAAAGAACUAAACAUGACUCUAGAAAACAUGGAAUGAUUUAAAACUUAAAAUGACUCAAAUAAACAUGUUAUGACCGAACAAAACAACGGAGAAAGACUCAAAAACAUAAAAAAGCACACAAGAACACAAGAACAUGAAAAACUCAGCCAAAAGGCUAAAUGGCUCCAAGAAUAACAAAAUGAGAGACAUGGUGAACAUGAACAUGAAAUAUGAAAUGGACAACGAAGCAAGACAAGCAAGGAUAUAACAUAACACCAUAGGAAACACAAUAAAAGAUAGGGACCAAGAAAACUUAGCUUUUGAAGAACCAAAGCUCUUGAUACCAAAUGAUAACAACCUCCUUGAGCUAGGUUGGUCCAAAGCUUAGAAGGAUGCAAGGAGAUGAUCCUUAUGGUGUAUAUGGUAGCAAAAAUGGGGUGAGAAAGGGUGAUAUGGUGAAGAUGGUGCUUAUUUUGGUGGUUGAAUGAGAGGUUAGGCCAACUCCAUGAGAUAGAUGACUAGAGGGGCCUCUAGAGUUGCUCUAGUCUUGAUCUUGUAAGUGUAUGGCCAUAAUUUGGAGGCAUAACAUUAAAUUAAUCCUAGAUGAAAUACAAGGGCACACCUCUAUUUAUAGGCCAAGGGUGUCUCCUUCUAACCUUAAAAGCAUGAUCUACUACCUUUGCUUUCAUUGGCAAAAAAUGAGGCCAUGUGACCACUCACAAAACACAAUCCUCUCCAUUCCUAGAGUGUGUGUGGCCACUACUAAAAGUAAAUCAUCUCCAACAGUGGAGGGACAUGUGGCCACUACCAAAAAGAAAUCCUCUCCACUCCUACGAUGCCAUUUGACCAUUCUAAAAAGCAAAUCUUCUUCAAUUGAAGCAUGCACUAGUACAAAAUAGGCUUUUUAUGUUUGUUAUUUUUGGCUUUUUAAGUCUGUUUUACGACAAAAUUAGUUCAGCAGACUUAAAUUUUAAGUCUGUUAUUAACCGACAAACUUAAAAUUUAAGUCUCUUGCUAUCCAACAAACUUAAAAUUUCCACCCAAAAUUGAAAAUCCAAUCAUAUAUUCCAUUGACACCUUAAUUAACCCCAAAAAAUUUCAUCUUUCUUAUAUAAGUUCCUAUACACAAUAAAGAUGAAAUUGGAACAUAAUACAAGCCAUCAUUCCCUCAAUUUAGUUCUUCUUCACAACACCAAGAAUCCAUAAAUUCAAUCACAUUCUUUACAUAACAUAAUACAAAGAAAAUAAAUUGGAGUGAUUAAUAAUCACUCUUAAAGAAACCUAAAAAUUCUUAAUCCUAAAAAUCACUAUAACAUUUAAUAUUAAAAUUUGAAACCUUAAAAACAAAACAAAGAUCCUAAUUCUUAAUCCUUACAAACCAAGACCAAUUUUUUUCAUUUGUACAAUGACGACAACACAAAACGAGGCAUCCAUGGCAACGCAAUAGGUAGGUGACAGUGACGACAACGGCAGUGCGAGCUGAGGCAACGCGAGCAACGAAGAUGCGACGUGAGCAGUCGUGACACGAUGCGAGCGACGACACGGCACGAGUACGACCGACACGAUGCGAGCGGCAACGCGAUGCGAGCAACGAUGACACGAGAAGCGAGCAGUGACGACAAAGGCGACGUAAAAGGCAGUAGAGGCAACGAGAGCAAUAGUAGCAGUAAUGGCACGGGAGGGGAGACAAGAUCUGCGAGGCAGCAACUAUGACAUGUGUACCAUAGGACACUGAGGCUGAGAGAUCUUGCAUGAAGAUGAAGUUGUUGGGCGUGAGCAAGUCUGGAGGAGGUGCGAGAGGGAAGAAAGUGGAGAAAGAGAGAGUGGAGAAAAAAGUGUUAUGUGCUCUGUGAAGAAAAAUAAGGUUAAACAUGGAUUUAGAUUUAACUCAAAAUUAAAGUAUUUUUUUAUUUGAAAAGACUUGAAAAAAAUUAAUUUAUGUAUGGUAAAAACCUUAAGAGAUACAAAAAUUAAGUCUGUUUGUAUUUUAACAUAUUUAAAAUCAAAAUUUAAGUUUGUGACCAAAUUAACAGAUUUAAAAUAUGGAUUUUUAUUUACAAAAGUGGCACCGCGUGUUUAUUAAGUUUGUUAUUGUGAAAACAAACUUAAAAUGUUGUUUUUGUACCAGUGACGACACAUGACACACUUUCCAUUUGGUUUGAAUGUCUAACAAAAGGAAAAUCUUAUGCUACUUAGACUUUAACAAGCCUUAAACAAAUCUACCCUAUAUGACCGAAUACAAGUCUAGAUAUCUUACACUACUCUUUAAUCCAUAUUCCAUGAUAACUUCAAAAGUAAUCAACAAGGCACGGUUGAUACUAUCUUCAUGAAUGACUUCUAUUAUCUUGAAAGUACUUAACCAUAACUAGGGGACUUUCCAUCUUGACAUGUCCUAUGAAAUUUAACAUAUUGUUUUGUUUGGGUAAUGGUAGUGAUUUUAAUAUUUUUUAAAAUCAUCUAGGCUUUGCAAUGAGGUUUAUUGAGUUUUUGGGUAUGGUGAGACAAAAGUGUAUAUACUGUGGCUAGGUAUGGUGUGGAAUUGUGUUUGUGCGUAGACUUGGGUAAUAACUUUAAAAGUGCAUGUAUAUAUGGGGCUAAUUUUCUCUUCCAGUGGUGCAGCGGCAAAAAUGAUGAAGGACAUUGGUAUAUACUCUAAAAUUUUGUGAGGUGAUACUAUAUGGUAUGAAAUAUUAUUAUUUUAUGUAGAUAAAAAGAAAAGAUGUGAAUAUAUAAAUGUUGUUUAAAGGUGAGGUUUAUGAAUGAGGGAGGGGUUCAUUUAAAUCAUAUGAUUGAGUUGUAAGUGUUUGGUUGGGUUCAUGAGAGAGUUUACGUAGAAAAAUAAUAUUGUAGAAUGGGUCUUCAGUUUUUUUGGGAUAUUGUUUAUAGUCUAAAUAAAUGGGCCAACCACUAUAAAGUUUUAAUGGAGAUGUGUACUACACAAAAGUAUAGGAUUAAUGGGUGGUAAUAGAACAGUACUUCAACAUGUGAUGUAUGGGUUUUAAUUGCGGAUCUUCGUUUUAUGGACUAUUUUUCUUUCCGCUUCAAACCUCAGAUUUCAGUUUCGUUUCUAUUACAAGUUUGUAAAGUAAAUGUAUCGAUUGCUUUUAAGUAAAGAUUUUUAAGUGAAAUACUAAUUUAUCUAGUUAAAAGUAAAAUUUAUAUAUAUAAUAAUAUGUAAAAUUUAAUAGUAAAUUUUAAAUUAACUAUUAAUCAUAAGAAAACACACACUUUUAGUAUAAUUAAUAUAAAAUUUAUAUAUUAAGUUGGUUAAUUUUCGUUACCGAACGCUAUGUUUCUCUCUCUCACAGACACGUGUCUAUAUAUAUAUAUAUAUAUAUAUAUAUAUUUGUUUUAACUUAUAUUCUCAAUUAUUAUGUUUUAAAUAUAUUAUAGUAUUUUAAAAAUUAAUUUUAUAUUUAAAAUAUUUUAUAUAUGGUUAUUAAUGUAUAUUAUUAAAUACAAAUUAUUAAUAUAUUAUUUACAUAUACAUAUAAAAUUAUAUAUUUUAUUAAAUAAUUUUAUAUUAAUUUUAUUAUAUUUAAAUCAAUAUUUUUAUUUCAUGUUUAUUAUUAUAUUAUUAAAUAAAUAUAUAAUAUAUAAGUUUAAUACCGUUAACAACUAUAAUCUAUUUAUAAAUUUUAUACAUAUUUUAGAGAAAAAAAACUUAUAAUAUUUAAUAAAACAGUAUGUAGGCAAAAUACACAAUUUUACAAUAAAUUUAUAGUAUUGUGGUAAAUUCUCUAACCCAACAAAAGAAGCAUGAAGUCUAGUCAAAAUGUAAUAAUAUUGAACUAAUUCCAAUAAAUAUACACUAAAUAUUUUUAUAAUUACUAAAUAUUAUAUAUAUAUAUAUAUAUAUAUAUAAAUUAUUAAAGAGAAAUAAAUAAUUUAUAGAAUUAAAUAUGUAAUACAUUAAAAAGAUAUAUACCGAACAUAUAAUAAAAAAAAUCAUAAAUUAUUAUUUCUAAAUUCAUUAGUUUAAACUUUUAAAUUAAGAUGUCUUAUUUAGUUUUGAUUCAUAUCUAAAUAAAAUUUUUACACAACAAAAUUAAAUGACUACCUUAUAUAUUUUGAAAAUAUAUAAGAUAGUUAAGCAAAAUUAAAUAUGCUUAAGCAGUCAAGAAUUUUAAGGUCUUAUGUUCUUUCGUAAUUUUUCUAUAUAAGCAAACAAACAACUUUAUUGAAACCUCUUACGAAAUCUAUGUUAAUAUGAUGAAAAUAUUUGUAUGUAAUUAUUUGACAAAUUAAAAGUACUUAGAGUUGUGACAUAUUAGGUGUUAAUUGUAUUUUUUCUUAUAUUCAAAAUAAAUACUUUUUCUAAAAAAAUGUGCAUGGGUUGAUUUUGAUCCACAUGAAUUUUGUGGAUAUUUUGGUCCUAUAGACUCUUUUAAUGGAGAGCUUUUUGGUCAUGUGAGUUUUUAUGACCUCAACCUAUAUGUGUCAAAGCCAAAUCAUAUGAAAGAGACCAAAUUAACAAUUUAGUUUUCAGAUUUUGGAAAUGAUGGAUUAGUGGUUUUUUUUUUUCUCAGAAUGGAACUUUCUUAGACAAUUGUGUAAAAUUUGAGAUAAAGUUAUAUUGUUUCUUUUAAAUAAGGUAGAGUUGAUUUCUUGGAUUUAUUGAAGGUGGUUUAUGAAAAUGCUAGUUUUUGGUUUUGACUUUCUUCCGCUGAUCACUGAAAUAAAUUAACUUGUUACACUUUUAACAUAUUAACAUUAGCUAAAAUAAAGGAGUUGAAAGUUUAGACGGUAUAUGGUGUUUUUUUUUAUUAAUUGUAGGUGUGACUUUUUUAUUUUAAGACAAAUUGAUUUCUUUAAAAUAAAUAAUAAAAAAUUGAAUUUUAUAGGAAUAGGAUUAAAAAGUGGUAUAUGUAUGUAUGUUUAUUUUCAUAAGAGAGAUAAGUAAGAUUUUUUCCAGGUAUAUAUACCGGAGGUGGUUUUUUUGGAGAAGCUCUUUAGGAGAGUAAUUGAAAGGAAAACUUAGUUUGUUUUUGUCUUUUUUCUCUUAAGGCUUUGGGAUGAGUAGAGAAAGUGUAUCAUGUUUGUAAGGUUACAGAGAAGUAGGAAGAGAUUCUUAGGAAUCCAAGUGUGAGUCUAAGCCAUACAUUGAAUAGAAAAGAGAAAGUACAACAAUAUAUAAAAGUGAAAGACCCAUUAAUCUAUUGUAUUAAGGUUUUGGGUAGAGAGUGAUGUCAAUCCUUUAUAUGGUUGGGCUCGUAUCUAAUUGGUGUUUGUAUUUUCCCGGUGAACCUCCUCUUUGAUAAACCCAACAGUGAUAUCAGUGCCGAUGGUUCGUCUUGGUGGCCGACUCGUGGUUGUGGUUGGUUGAGAAUGCUUCCGCUGGAGGGGGAGUGUAUCAUGUGGAAGGGGCUCAUCCUUAAGGGGGAGAUUGUUGGGAAUCCAAGUGUGAGUCUAACUCCUACAUUGGAUAGAAAUGAGAAGGUAGAGCAGUAUAUAAAAGUGAAAGACCCAUUGCCUUAAGGUUUGGGUUGAGAAAACCUCCUCCUUGAUAAACCCAAUAACUUUGCUUGUAAGGUUCUUGGAAAGCAGGGGAAAAAGGGUUUUGUCUGUAAGUGGUGAGCAGAUGUUGGUAAUAUAUGUACAAAUGUCAAAGUGUCUAAUAACAAUAAUAUUAUAGUGUGAACUUAUGGAUAAAAUGAUUGUGGUUUUAUGUGGUUUCUUUGGUAAACUAGCUAAUUAGUUGUUUGAUGUUAGUUAUGUGUGGGUGAGUAAUGAGAUUGCAGUUUUAAUGCUUUUAUGUUGAUGUUAAUUUCAAAUAACACACCCUUCCAUGUCUAUGGUUGUGCUUUUACCUACGAUAUAUGACUUAUUUUAUAUGGGAGAAAAUGUUAGUGCAGAUGCUAUAACAAAACUAUGAGGAGACGUAACAAGGUUUUUCAUUGAGAGUUUUUUUAUAGGAGCUUUGGAGAAUAAUAUGUUAUGUAUUAUAUAAGACAAACAUGGUUAUAUUUGGUGAACACUUUGAGUUUAAGUUUGAGAGGUGAUAGUUUUGUGUAAGUUCCAUUUUACGUUAUGCUAUUUGAGUUAACUUUUGAUUUUGUGUUAUAAUUUUGAGAAAAUUUGUUGAUGUGUAACAUGAAUCAAGACAUGUUUGUUUAUUCUAAAAACCAAGUGUGAAAACAAGAAGAAAAGCAAGAGUGAGAGUUGAAUUGCGUUUCAAAACAUUGUAGCCACUUUUUGCAAUUUUUGUAUGUUCAAUUAUAUUCAGACAAUGAUUCUACCAAAAACCAAGUGUGAAAACAAGAAGAAAAGCAAGAGUAAGGGUUAAAUUAUGUUUCAAAACAUUUUAAUCACUUUUUGGAAUUAUCAACUUUUCAUUUAUAUUGAGACGAUGAUUUUAUACUUUUCAAAAUCUAAAGAGAUUUUGGUUUAAAGAGGUUUAUUAGACAUAACUUUGAGUAAAUAAUUGAUUUACUUGUAAUAAAAUUCUUUUUAAGUUGUUAUGUAACUACUCUCAUUCUAAGUUAGUAAAGAUAAUAAUAAUAAGCAACAAUUAGAAAUUGUGAGAGGAGUAUAUGUAAUAUUUUUAUACAGGUUUGUCUGACAGAUGACGUCUAAUUUUCAAGCAAUUGAUUAAGUUUCAAUUAUUCUUUUUUAAGGCAUUCUUGACUCAACAUGAGUAUUCUUUCAAUUCUCAACUACUCUUAACUAAUCUCAUUCCGUUACAAUUUCUACAAGCUACUUCUUACUUUAGUGAGUAUUCAUUCACAAGCUACUUCUAACUUAAAAAAGUAUUAUUUUUGAACAAUAAUCACUUCUUACUAAUAAUUGGAUAUUUUUUUACAAAACAACUCUCAAAUAAGAUAUUUUUAGAAUAAGGUUUUUAUGAUCUCUAAUCACACUUUAGUAUGCUAAGUGAGGACAAUUGACAUGUAUUAGAUUCAAGCACCUUCAUUCUAGUGCGUUGAAUUGAACAGUGAAAAUAUUCUUUAUUGAGUCUUUUGUUGCAUGAGAAAUUUUUGGGGUGUUAUAUGCACAUUGUCUCUCCAUUUUUUUUUCUUGAAAGGCUUUAUAUAUACAUAUAUAUUGUAGAAGAAAGUAGUUGUUAGAGUUGUUUUUGGCCAUUAAGCAACUUUAGUUCAUUUUAGAGAAAGUAGUUUAGAGAAAUAAAAGUCACAUAUUUAAAAAUAAGACAUAAAUAUAUAGAUACAAAUUUAGUAAACUGAAACUAAGUUUUUAUAUAUUUUAAAGGGCUAAAAUCAUAUUUUAUCAUUCCUAAUUUAGUGAGAAGGGAAGUUCAUCCCAUAUUUGUUAUCUAGGAAUUUUCAAACCUUUAAUUCUCUGUAACUGCUAAUUUUCCCUGGUGAUUGUUGCAUAUAUGAUUAUGGGCUUUUGGCGCAUAUCGUCAUUGAAAAAGAAAAAAAUCCUGCGAAGAUUGUUACACAUAACAUAUAUUUUUCAUAAUAAAAAAAUAUUAUUUAACACAUCUAUAUUUUUUACUUUUUAUUUACUUUUUAGUUUUUUUUUUUGAAAAAUUAUAAAACUUUAUAUUUUUAAGACUAUUUUAUCCUUAUAUAUUAAAUAAAUAUAAAAGUAUGUCAUAUGAUUAGUCCUCGUAAUAAUCUAUGAUUGUCCUUCUUAGAGGUACUCAAAAACAAGUCAACACAAUAAAAAGGCAAAGUAAUUUAGAAAGAAGUGCUGAGCAUAAUCUACAAAACCGAUUUAAAAAAUGAAAAAGAAUGAUCGAUUUUGUUGGACAUCACUUUAUAAGUUUGAUGGAUAACAGAGUUCUACUUUAUAAACUAAAAGAUAACACCCACUUUCUCUGGUGGAAAAACAUAAUGUAUUAAAUUAUGCAAAAUGUGGAACCAUGCUUUUCAAUUAAUUUAAACAAACAUUUCAGGAUCUUUCCUAAUCAUUACACCUUCCAUUACCACCUAGCUCUUACUUACCUGCAUGUAAUGGAAAAUAUAAAAUAUGAGCACCACCAUCCCUUAAUCAAUCACAUUCAUUUCAUAUAAUUAUUAAAUAUAUUUUCCUUCUUCAAAUUAUUUUUAAAAAUUACAUUUCAUUUCUAAAUUAAACUAUGUUUUUUUAUUUUUGGGAAAGUUAUGUAAAAUACUUUUUCAAAUAAUUGAUAGUGGGAUCUUUCUAAACGAAAUUUUAAAUAUAAUUUACUAGAAAGAAUAUUCUACGUGAUUUCCGUAGGAUCAAAAGAAACGUAAAACAUUAUUUUUAAGAAAUUUAAUAUAUCAGAAAAAUGCUUACCAGCUGCUUUUUUGCAAAUUGAGAGCAGUACAACCAGAACUGCAAGACCUCCAAACACUCCCACAAUAAUGGCAACAGAUUUUCCCACUUGAUCAUCGUCGGAGGAAUCUGCAAACAAAACACCAAAUUGAAACUAUUACCAUAAUAUUCUGCACAGAUCUAACAAGCAACACUCCUUAGUUUUGUUCUUUUGUUCUACUAAUUUUCCCAACCCGACUGAACAACGAACUUUUGUAAAUGAUAAAAAUUCAAAUGAUCGAUAAAAAAAUGGAAAAUGAUAUUUUAACAUCAUUUUUUGUCACAUUUUGACACUGCACACGUGUCAAAAUGUGAUUGGACGAUUUCAAAUUAAAAAAGUUGAGGCAGGAGUAUAUUUGGAAGAAAAAAACCAAAAGUUUGUUUUUUUAAUUUGAAAUCGUCCAACCACAUAUUGACACAUGUGCAGUGUCAAAAUGGUGUCAAAAAAUCGUGUUAAAAUAUCAUUUUCCAAAAAAAUUUACGGUUUUCAAUUUUAAAAUGAAAUUCAUGCAAAGCAAUGCUUUUAUUUAAGCACAUAAUGGAAGUUAAUCUUGAGUGAGGGAAUAUAUGCCAAAUCAUGAUAGCACUUGAAUAAAAUGAGUAUGGUGGUAAAUUGAUUAGUGAAGAAUAUGGAAUGCGAUACUAAGUAAAAGGUAUUCGAACAAAUGGAUAAAGAGGAAUUGGAAAAAGUGCGCAUUUUCCAAAAUAAAGUAUUAAAGCAUAUGUUCCGAAUGCAUUCACCCAUAAAAUAGCAUUUCACAACGACGGCUUCCUCUUCAUUUUCUGAUCACUUUUCUACAAAGGCUGUAAGUAAGUAAUUCAAAUCAAUUUGAAAACAAUCUGAAUUUUUUACAUAUGGUGUUUGUAAGAUUAGCAAUAAAUAAUUAGCAGUAAUACGUUACUUUAGGAUAGGAAAAUGGGUCUAAUUUGAGUGGUGAAAGUGAAAAAGAAGAAAUAGACCUGAUUCAUGAUAAUAGCCAGAUGCCCAGUAUCGAGCAUAACAUUGUCCCAAGAACACAUGAGCUGCUGCAGCAGAUCCACAUAAGGUUUUGAGUUUUCCAACAGCAUCUGCUAGACAAGAGGAGCAAUCUGAUAGAGUUAAAUCCCCCAAGCAUUGUGCAAACCCUUCAACUAGGCCCGAGCUACUCACUCUAAAUCCAUUAGCAGUUUGCAAAUCAGCAAGAACAUCAUCUCUACGCCUGAAGAACUCAACAUCACUCGUCACACCUUUGCUGCAUUUCUUAUACCUCAGACUCGUGUCCAAUUUCCCUAGAAAAUCACCAGAAUGUUCAUAUCUUAUAAGGCACCCUUCAAGUUGUAAAGAACCUCCAAGGGCAUACGGACAAACCAAACCUAUUUCGUUAACAGAUCUUUCUACACACUUUGAGCACUCAAUUGGGUGCAGAUCACCUCUGCACUGGUAUAACCCGUAUACGUUUCCCUCUUGUGGCGUUGAGCUUCCAUUUCCAAUAGCAAAGCUAUUGUAAAUUACUUCAGAGGACGAACUCACCACUGAAGACAUAAAACUGUUAAGGUUCCCUUCAAAGGGUGCGUUCGGUUGGUAUUUUUCCUCAGAACAGACUGCAUAUAUGAACAUAUGAUCUCGUGAAGGGUAGCCAUGAACUGAAGAAAACAAAAUUAGCAGAUAAGAGAGUCUCCAAAUGAAGAUGAUUCUGUAACCAGACUCUGCUUCAAGAGUUCUCGACAUGUUUUUCUAAAACUAUGAACCUUUGUUUGUUUUCGUGCCUUGGUUAUGGCAAUUAAAGAGUGAGCCAGUGGUUCAUUUUUUUGGGCCUUUUUCUUUAGUAAAAGACUCUUGUUUGGUCAGGCGUUGAGCAUCAACUUUGUCCCGAGUCAAUGGUCAUAAAGAUUAAAAAUCCUUAUUUCCAAGUACACACAAAACUACGAGAUACAACUCUAAAAGCUUGAAAAAACAAUCUGCUCUCAAUGCAGAGGUUAAUUCAAAAGCUUCCAACAAACGAGUUUGUUGUCGAACUGUAAAAUGUUAUGUUAAAAUUCAUAUCUAUAUUGCUUUAAAAUAUAUAUGUAUGUUUUUAGAAACCUAAGGUUGAAUGGUAGAUACAACUCUAAAAGCAAUAUUGAACAGUAAUUUCGUUUCCCCAUGGAGACCAAACUGCAGAGUAAAACUUUGCUAAAUUCACUUUUACUAUUCACAAAAGUAUCUAAUCACAUGCAUCUUUGAUCCUCUUUAUAUAUCUCGCCAUACUUAAAGGGAAAAAUAAUGAAUUCUAACGAGAACUUUUAGAUAUUAUGUUUCAAACCAGAGAAUAGUAGGUCUAUUCAACUAGGAUUUGUAAUAAAAUUUCGAUAUAAAAAUGUUCUAUAUAACAAAAGAUUUUCUAAGAAUGGAAUGGUUUUUUCUAAAAGACUUUUAUUACAAGAUUUUUUUUUAAAGGAUUUUGCCUCUUCCAUUUUGCAUGGGAGUCGCUGCACUGCUAAAGAAACCAUUCAUGGCAAUGAGAGUAAAGAAGAAUGGGAAUUGGUAUGCAUGUCUUAAAAUGAAGCGUAUUACGGUUCUUUCAAACUGGGUAGGGAUGAAAAGUUUGGAUUGAAUGAUAGACCGAGAAAACAAUUAUGUGCAGAAUUGAAAAAAGGUUAAUUUCAUAAUAGAAAUGAUAGAAAAACAUAAAUUCAGGUCGAAAUGGUUGAAGGCGGACGACCUAAACACAAUUUUUUCAUAAGUUAAUCCAUUCUAGGAUAAUGAAUAAUAGGAUCAACGGGUGAAAGUUGGCAAUGAUUGGUGUGAGCGAAAGUAAAGGAAGUGGUCAGAACUUAUAUAAGAACAAAUUUACGAAAUGUGGCGGACUUAAAGUUAGAUUGGAUACUGUCGCGACCCAUACAAAUUUGAUUGCAUAUUAGAAAGGAAGUGACUCCUAAGUGAAAUCAAUAAAAUAUCGACUCAUCAUCUAUUCAUAAAUUAAUAGGGAAAACAAUGACCUAUUAACAAGUAGAUUUUUCUGAGGAAACCAGGGCAGUUGUAUGGGACUAUGGAAGCGGCAAGAGUCCGGUUAAUUUUAAAUUUUUUAAACAAUUUUGGGAUAAAAAUGAUAUACUAAGACCUGCAAAUUGUUUUCAUAGCAGUGGGAGUUGGUCAAAAGGAUGUAAUUCUUUUUUAUUAUUAUUUUAAUUCAUGAGGUUUAUAAUUCGUAAGACCUAGACCAAUAUAGGUCGAUAGUGAAUGUACAAAAUAAUACUCAAAAUUUUGUCAAAAAGAAUGCAAAAAGUGCUUCAUAAAAUCAUAGACUAAAUUCAGAAUGCACUCAUUGAGAUAGAAGAAUACUCAAUAAUUGUUGAGUCUAUCAAAUAGAAGUUCACCGGGGAGAUACAAUACUGAUUAGAUUUGAGCCAACAAAAUGAAAAUUGAUACUACUCUCUACCAAAAACCUUAAGUUAAUGAGUUAAUGGAUCUUUCAUCUUUAUAUAGUGCUAUACUUUCUCAUUUCUAUCUAAUGUGGGACUUAGACUCACACUUGGAUUCCCAACAGUGUAGUGGUGGUAAACAAAGUGAUUGACGAGGUGAGAGGAAAAAAGAAAGUUGUAUUAUUGUAAAGACAAAUUUCGAGAAAACGUAUGAUUCAGUUAAUUCAUAAUUUCUCUUUUAUAUGUUAGAAAGAUUGGAUUUUUAUCCCAAAUGGGUUAGAUGAACUAGGACAUGUUUAUCGUCGUUAACUAUCUUUGUUUUAGUUAAUGGGUUCCACAAGACAAUUUACAAGGCAAGACGACCCAUUAAUUUUUUUUUUCUUGUAGUUGCACAAAGGUUGGUUGAUGUAGUUAGAGAGGUUAAGAGUAAACGAUUGUUAGAUGGGACUAGAAUGUACAAAAAGAUUUCAAUGAGCAUGUUUUAGUUUGCAUAUGAUACUUGAUAAAGGCUUGAGAUUAGUAAUUUUUCAUUGUUUAAUUAACACUUAUCUUGUUUUGAUUGUGUAUAAGUUUUAUGAUAUCUACCGUAAUUUCACUUAUUUUGUAGUAACAUAUGAAUCCAAGGAGUUAAUAUGUGAUUGAGAUAAAAGAAAUUCAACACUUUUUAUUUAAUUUGUCUUGUCACGACUAUAAUACCAUCUAAGGGCUUAAGCUACAAAGAAAACUCACUCAAGAAGGUUUCCUCAAGCCAUGAAAUAAAGCUUGAGCCAUGAGAGAGUACUUCAUUAUUAACCAACUUCAAGCAGCUUUAGGUUAGAACUUCAUAGCUUGAGCCAUAGAGGAAACCCAAGAAGGGAGGAAACCUCAACGUUGGAGCCGUGAACCACUGCUUGAGUCGUGUUGUGAAUGUCUAAAUAUACAAGCACCUUGGAAAGAUUCUAGAGAGAUGGAAAGGGAGAGAAAAAAAGACUUUGGUCUAGGCUUUCUUAGGGUGAUUUUAGAAAGAGACUCUAAUGAGUCUUCUCACAUAUAUCCUCUGUAAUUCAAAGACACAUCUUUAGAGGAUUAGGAGAUUUAUCUUCCUCUGUGAUUGUAUUUAAUUUUUUGUCCAUGAGGAGCUAAAUCUCACUCUUGUUAGAGCAUGAUGUAACAGAUUCAAAUUCUCUUGUAUUCGAUGAAAAUUUUCAUUUAUGCAUGUUUCCUUUUAUUUAAAGUGGUUAAUUGAUUUAUGCUUAUUAUUGGAUGAACUCAUCACUUGUCUUGAUUAACUAGCUUAAGAUUGAGUCGAAGCUAGUCUUAAGUUGUAGUCCAAUUAAUUUUCUUGUAUACUUCUAGAUGCUAGGAAUAAAUUCAGGGUGUGCAGUUGGAAUAAAGUCUUAAUCGUAAUAUGGGUGAAUCAUAUGUGGUUCAUACUGGAAAAUAGACAACAUAUUAAUCUCUAGGUUCCAGGAAUGGUCCUAGAAUACCAUAAAGGGCAAUCCCAAGAAUUAUCAUCUAAGGCCUCAUAUCUAGAGGUGGAUCUGAUACAAAAGAGGAGAAAUAUGUGAAGUUAAGCUUCAACACAGUUCAAUUAUAAAAGUUACUCUUUUGAUAGCUUAAAUCAAAUUCUAAGUUGGUUUUACAACAGAUUAAACUAGUUAAAACAUUGUUAUUUAUGCCAAAUCUUUAUGCAAACAACACAUGUUUACUACAACAACCCAAUAUACUUGUUGGUAUAUUUCGGGUGUUGCAAUCACAUCACGAGCAACUAUAUUUGUGUGUAAAGCAGAAAUACAAAAUAUAAUGGUCGUAAAGAAUAUGCUUAUAUGUUUUAAAAUUGUGUCUGGUCUUAAGGUUAAUUUCAAGAAGAGUAAGAUAGGAAGCACAAAAGUUUAGGUUACUAUGGUUAUAAAAAAUCGAUAAAAUUUCAAACUUUUAUCUAGGUGCGAAAAUGUACUUUUCAAAAACCUAAAUAACUAAACUUGUAUACUUAUUUCAAAAUAUAAUAGUUCCAAAAUCCUUCUUCAAUUACAUGAUUCAUAAAUAAUGAAAAUAACCAAGGAAAUAUAGAACUCCAAUUACAUUGUUUCAAACUUUAAACACAAUAACUUUAAAAGAAAAUUCAAAGUUUGUUCUCCGUAAUCUCUCAAAUCUAUCAUGCCUCAACAACAUUUGUAACAUCAUAUGUUCACGUAUAAGACUUUAUACAAUCAUUGUCAAUAACAUCAUUAACAAAUCACAAAAACAAACACUUAUGGGGUAAGCUACCACCAAAGCAAUCAUAAUAACAUGAUAUAAUUACAUUGAUUAUAUCAACCAUAAAAAACCACCUCAUACAUAGUAGUAAUAACAAUAGGAAUUCUAAUCCUCUAACAUAAAAAUUUUUUGAUAAGGGGGGCUAUGUGAAAGCUAAACCCAUAUAUUCCAUAUGUGUUUUUGAUGAUGACAACAUAAAUGUUUUUAUAGUUUCUUGCACACAUUAAGCAAAACUGUUGUUUAUAUAUUUGCAUGUGUUUGAAAUAUAUGUUAUGCAUAUUCAUUGUUUAAGAAUGAUUCUUUGAAUAUCUUGUUUUUGAUGAUGUACACGAUGAUGAACAUUGUAUAAUGGACAUUUUUGUUGAAGGACAUUAAGGAUUUAUUCUAUUGUUAUCUUGCACAAAAUGACAUAACAAAUGUUUGAUACUAUUGAUGCGUGUGCUUGGUACAUGUAUUAAUGGUUGGAAAAAGGUUUACAUGUUUAAACAGAUUGAAAAUGUAUUUCUGGUAUGAUUUAAUCUGUUAAGCAAUUGACGUAAUUUGUUAAUUGUUUCAGAUUUAUUGUAUGCUUUAUUAGAGUCAAAUUGUUAUAACAUAAUCUAGUAUACAAUGUGUAUAAUUGAUUAAGUAAGAAGGUUAGCCAAUACAUGUUUUCAAAAGAGUGAAAAUCUGAUUUAAAAGAAGGUUGAAAUUGAAAUUUUUCUUAAGUGUUGGACAUAAUCGAUUACAUAAGUUGUAUAAUCAGUUAAGUCAUUUUCAUAUGAUGAAUUCAAUUUUUUUCAAGCCAAUAUUGUUAUAACGAUCAUAUUUCAUUAUUUUUUGCUGUUAAGAAGUGUUUAAUCGAUUGCAUGCACCAUAUAAUUAGUUAAAAUUCGUCAAGAUUUUGAAAAUGCUAUAAACAGUUGUCUUGCGCUGUUUCAAACUAAUAUUUGAACAUUAAAUUUCAUAACUAACAUUUUGAUUGAGUUUUGAUUACAGGAGCGUCCAAGAACCAUCUUGAAGAAUGAAGGAUCAACUUUGGAUUUAUACAUCAAGAUUCUAUCAAGAAGUGUGCUUAAAGGUUGUUGAUCAUAUCUGCACUAUUGGAGUGCUUGCUGUGAAGAUCGAGUUUAUCUUUUUCAAUUUGUAGAUUGAGUUCCUUUGCUAUUGUGCCAAGGGGAGAGAGUUGUGAUUGUUCUCAUUAAGAUUUAGGAUUACUCUUAAGGUAUUUUUAGAGUUGGGAUUGCUCUAAGGUGACAGAAAAUGGGUGAUCUUUCUGGGUUGUUAUAGUUGGUAUUGAGUUAGGAAGGAGAGUACAUUGAGAGGAUUGUUCUCUAUAUGUCUUACUCGACAUGUCAGAGCAUUUUGAAAUUCUUUCCUUCACAAAAUCUCACAUAGCACUGUUUCUCAAAAUCUAUACAAAGACUUUAGCAUAGUCGAUUCAAUUAGUAAUGGAGUCGACUUUACUGCAACUUUGUCACACAAUUAUAAGUUCACAAAAGUGCAUGUGGUUUUCAUCCUUUCAAACAUGUGUAAUGCAACCAGAUAUGAUGUAACAUGUACAAGCUCAAUAGGUAUGCAUUCACAUGGUAGUAAAGCACAGAAACAUGUUCAACAAUAUAUCAACCAAUCAGCAUUAGAACAUGUAACAUAACAACAACAUAGGUGUGUUAUUAAAAAUGUGUUGUCAUCAUCAAAAACCAGAGUGAUAUAGAUAUUGUGUUGUCAACAAUCUUAACACUCUCUAACCCUUUAACCAAAAUAUAGGCAAUCCAAACAACAAAGAUCUGCCGCAAGGUAUCCCCUUGAUAACGGUCUAAAAAACAUUAUUUUCAUACUUAAAAUCAACAUCAAAACACACCUUUUAUGACUUAGAAUUAGCUUGAAAUCAUGUAAUUUGCUUAAGUUAGAGAAUACGAGAGUCAGAGUGGGUUUUCUUGGUUUUAUGCUUGGUUUUUUCUUGUUUUUGAAGGAUUUAUCAGGAGUUUGAUGAAGAAAGUGAAGGAAGAGAAGUUUUGGAUGCAAAAGAAGGUGGAAAAUUGAAGAAAAUAAGAAUUGUAGCCACCGCCGGGCAGUGUGACCUUCAAUGCAUUCUCUGUCAUGCGCUUAAGGGGACCGCCAAGGGGUGAGAAAAUAAUCGCACUCAUUGUCGGGCGGUGGACUCUUCAGUGGAAUCUCUGGAGGACGUUGAAGCGGUAGCGCUGAGGGGUGAGAUCAAGUGUCGCGCCCACCGCUGGGCGGUGUACUUAUGAGCCUAGGCUAAAAUUCUGAUAUUUUUCUGAGUUAUAAAUACAUUUGCACGAAUUAGAGAAGCUAUCUUUUGACAGAAAGGAUGUAGAAACACAUUCUACACGCCUUGGAGACGGAUUUUGGAUGCGAAAGCUCCGAUCUAUCAAUUCUAGGGUUAUCUUUUCCAUAUUUUCCAUUCAAUUCAUCUAGUUUCACCAUGAUUAUGGUGAACUAAACUCCUUUGUUGUUGGGGAACGAUGUAAUCCUAUUUGAAACUCUCUUAUAUAUUGAAAUUCUUACUUUAUUCAUCUGGUUUGUUUAUCAAUUGUUUGAGUUUUUUCUCCAUUAUAUUUGCAUGCUUUGUUUAAGACAUUAUUCAAUAGCAUAAUCUUUGAUUCUUUCUAUAUGGACACGUAUAGUUAAGUCUAGACAUGAGGGAAUUCUCUUGAUAGCAAUAUUACCUAGACAUAGGAAUAGGAGGAUCAAUUGCCUUAAGCUUCUGUACGAAUUAUGUAAUGCAUGAAUAAUUGCUAGGGAGACUAGACAUAGUAACUAGUAAUUAGAAGUAGACUUUAUUUAUCAAGAUAUUGAUAGUAGGAGAUUUUAGAAAGUGGCAUGAACAUUGAUAACAAAGUCAAAUUUAGUAAGAAUAGUAGGUAUUUGAGAGUGGAUUAGGAUGAACCUGUAAACCCCAACAACACCAUUCAUCUAUAUUGUUCAACUGUCAAUUGAUCAAUUCUCACACGCAUGUUUAUUUUUCGUGCAUUUAAAACUUAAAUUGUCGUUUAUUCAAGUCUUAUGAUUUCAAAACAUCAUAAGAAUGUUUAGGCCUAAGAGUCUUUUGGAAAACGAUACCCGAACUUAUCGUUUUAUUAUUACUUGAUAUGAUCUAGUACACUUGCCAGAGUGUUAACAAGUUUUUGGCGCCGUUGCCGGAGACCCGUGGUUUAACUAUUCAAGUAGUGUGAUUAUUGAUUGAAUUUGACUUGAUUUUUGUUUUUGUUUUGUUUUUGUUUUAUUUUUAUAUAAAAGUGUUUUUUAGGGUUUUGUUUCUUGUGUAUGCAGGAUACGAUUCGUACUAGAAGCAAGAAAAGUAUAGAACCUCUUCUUGAAGGCUUGAGAGGGAAGGUUCGAAGACCAUCUAGAGAAUUAUUCCCCUCUCCUGAGAGACUUUUGCAACCCUAACCAGAAGCAUCCAACCAGAGCACAAAAGAGAUGGCCAAGGAGGAAGCUCCUAGGAGAUGCACUCUGGCAGAUGCUACUACUAUUGUUGGCCCUCAACACUUUAAUAGCAUUGUAAGGCCGAGGGUCAAUGCUUUGAACAUGGAGAUGAAGUCGACGUUGAUACACUUGGUGCAAAGCAACCAGUUUAAUGGACUAUCACACGAAAGUCCAUAUGAUCAUCUCACCACGUUCAAUGAGAUCUGCAACACGGUGAAGAUCAACGGAGUUCCGGAUGAAACAAUCAAACUUAGCUUGUUUUCUUUCUCUUUGGGAGGCAAUGCUAAAUUGUGACUGAAUUCUUUUCUAGAAGAAAGCUUGACAACCUGGGAGGUUGUGGUGUCAAAAUUCUUGAACAAAUAUUUCCCGCAGUCUAAGAUCAACAAAGGUAAAUUGGAAAUUUCUUCUUUUAGGCAGGGCAUGGAGGAAACCCUAGGUCAGGUGUGGGACAGAUUUAAAAGCUUGUUGAGGAAUAUGCCUGUGCAUGGUUUUGAUGAAACAACUGUGGUUCUCACGUUCCUUGGAGGUCUUGGCACACAGUCCAAGCUUAUGUUAAAUGCCUCAGCUGGAGGUAAUAUCAAGAGAAAGACUGCUAAAGAGGCCUAUGAGUUGAUUGAAAGCAUGACGGCUAAUGAGAAUGAACCUCAUAAUGAAAGGGGCGUGCCACUUCAAAAAAGAGGAGUUCUUCAAUUGCCCACUGAAGAUGCCUUGUUUGCACAAAACAAGUUUUUAACUCAACAAUUGGAGAAUCUGACAAGGACUAUUACUCAAGUGCCUAACGAGUUAAAGAAUGUUUCGCAGGUACAACAACAACUCUGUGAUCGUUGUGGUGGAGACCAUAUCAAUGGUCAAUGUGCUUUUCCAGAGGAGGCCAAAGAAGAAGAAGCAAAUUACAUGGGCAACUGAUUUCAAUACCGUUAAGGUAAUUUCAAUCAAGGUAAUUACAGCCAAGGUUGGAAGAAUCACCCAAGCAUUGGGCAAAGUCAGAAUAAUCAAACUGGAAAAACUAGAGGCCAAUUUAACAGGCCAUAACAACCACCACUAUGGCAACAAGAUUCACUUUUGACUGAAAAAAUGAACAAUUUUGACGAGAAGUUCGACAAAUUUUUGAAGGUGUAUGAUUCCAAUUGCAAGAGCUAUGAGGCUAACUUCAAGAAUUUGGAGACGCAAAUUGGGCAGUUAUCCAAAAGGAUGGAGGUCACAGAGAAAAAUCAAUUUGGGCCUAAUACUGAAGUUAACCCUAGAGAAGAUUGUAAGGUUGUUGUGAGCAUGGUUGAGGAAAGAGUGGAAAAAGAAAUUUUUGAGUUAGGAAAAAGAUUGGAAAAAGAAGAAAUAUGUGAGGGAGAGGGUAGAGAAGAAAAAGAGAAAAAAAUAGAAAAAGAAGUGAAAAUUGAUAAAGAUGAGAGUGAUCUUCCUUACCCUAGAGGAGAAGAGAGAAAAGAGAGUAAGUGUGAGCCCUUUAGAGAAAUCUUCAAUCAAAUGGAGAUUACUAUGCCUUUGACCGAAGUACUUCAACAAAUUUUUGUCUAUGCUAGGCGUAUAAAGCAAUAUCUUGGAGAAAAGAUAGAUUUUAAAGAGAAAGCUAUUGAGGAACAGAAGGUUGUAGUGGCCCUUUGAAGAGAAAACACCCUCCAAAAAUGAAGGAUCCAGAAAGUUUUAUAAUUCCUUGCGCCAUUGGGAGUGUGAAGAUAGGGAAAACUUUACUUGAUUUAGGGUCAAGUAUCAAUUUGAUGCCCCUAUCUAUGCUGAAGAAGAUUGAUGGUCCGACACUAAAGCCAACAAAAAUUUCCUUGAUCAUGGCGGACGGAUCAUCAAAGAAACCCUAUGGUGUGGUGGAGGCGUGGUGAUUCGUAUUGAAAGCCUUGAAUUCCUGGUUGAUUAUGCUUAAAGAGGAUGGUAAGAUCCCGGUGAUUCUUGGAAGGUCGUUCAUGAAGAUGGCCAAAGUGGUCAUAAAUGUCUAUGAUGGGGUGAUUAGCUUAAAGACCAAGAAGAAAAAGUGAUUUAUAAUGUCCUCAAAGAGAAGCAUAUGCGAGUAAAAAAGAGGGCUAAGCAUAAAGCUUCAUAGAAGGAUGCAACAAUUCUUAGACCUAAAUUUGCUAAAGUGGUCAACAAAGGUAAUAAUUGUGUUUUAAUGCAGGUAAAGGAAGAAGAGAAAGUUGACAAAGGAGGGACAAUCCACUUUGACUUGAAGGAUGCAUCAUUCAAGCUUGGUACACCUGUGAGAUACAAGAAGAAGUUGUGGGUGGUGAAAGGCUUUAAAGACAAUGGAGUGAUAGAGAUUGAAGCUCCAUAUUCUAGGAGAGUCAAGAAGGUGGACCGGAAGCAACUCAUGAGUUAGUGUGAUGAAGGUAAAGAAGACACCAACAUGAAGGAUGGAACAUGAGCUUUAUUGGGUCAAGCUAGUGACAUUAAAAGAGCACUUGCUAGGAGGCACCACAAUGACUUUUGAACAUUAUUUUCUUUUGUUAAUUUUGGUUUUGUAAUUUUUGGAUAUUGUUAAACAAUUUUUAUUGGGUAGCAUUCACUGAGAGAUGCUAGAUGAUUAUGUAUUCACUGAAGGAUACAGGAAGGUACACCUAUUGAAGGGUGUUGGUAAGGAUUGCACUUACUGAUAAGUGCUAGAAAGGUUUGGGUCAGGCUCGUGACGUUAAACAAACGCUUACUGGGAGGAAACCCAAGAUUUUCUUAUCUUUUGUUUUGUGAUUUGAAUUUUUUGUAUAGGUUUGCUUCUGUUGAGUAGUGUAGGUUAAUGUACUUGGUAAAAAACUUUUCUGUUAUGAUGGUUUAACUGUUUGAUUGCAAGAGAUAAUUGCUUGAUGAUGCUUGCUAUUAAUGAUGAUUGAGAUUGCCAUACGUUGAUGUACAGGUGGAGUGUUCACUAGCUAUGUGAACAAAUGCAUUGUGAUUUUGUGAUUGUGAUUAUGAGGCUAAGUAGGGUAUUCUUAUGGAUGUUGGAAUAAGCUUGUGUGAGGUUUUUGAGCUCCAGAGUUCUUAUUGAUAUAUUUGCUAUCUACUUGAAAGCAUGAGUGAUUUUGCCUGAAUUUCUGUGAUUGAUUGAAUUGCAUGUAUGUGUCAUAUGAUCAAGGUCGUUUUUGAAUAAACCCCUUUCUAGCCAAAUGAAAUUUUCAUCCCAUAUGAAAAAAGGAACAUCUUAUGUUCUACUCUUUUGAACCUAAGUCUUAAACAGGAUGUGAAAACCCUUGCUCUUGGCCAGGAGGACAAUUAUCUAAGUGUAGAGAUGUGUUAACUCCUUGGUUUUACAUCUUUUUCCGUGUUUAACAGGCUAGGAAAGGUAAUUUUAGUAUUUAAUUAUUUAGAAUUAGGCUUAUUUUAGGAUUUUCUUUAAAUUAUAGUUUUUUAUUUUAAAUUCUAGUUAAAAAUAGAUUUUUAAGAGUAUUAAUAGUGUUUUUAAAUAAUUAGGAAAAUCAAUCUUUUUGUAUAAUUUUUAAUAAAAUUCUUUUUCUUUAGUAUUUGAUUAAGUAGGUUUUAAUUCUUGAGUUGCUAAGAAACCCUUCUCUUCUUUGCAGAUUGGCCUUUAUUCGUAAUUGAUUUUGAUUGCAGUGGUGCCCCUACUCAAUUGGGCUAAAUUUGGUCAACAAAAGCCAUUUGGGUUUUUCUGCAUUGGGUUCAAGUAAAACACAGAACUUCAAUUAGUGGAAGUUUUGGGGUAGGCGCUGCUGCCUCAGGGGGUCAUGGAUUUGAAGGCUCAUUUGCAAAAGAAAGACCCUUUGUGCCAGGGUUUCAUUGUGAGAAAGAUUUGAAGAAGAAGCUUAGCUCAUGUCAUUACCCAGAGGAGCAUGAAGACGAACUAGGGCACGUGCCGAAAGCCUGAAUCAGCGAAGAUAGUGAAGGAAAUCAGAGGGCUUGAAAGAAAAGUGAAUGAAGACCGUUGGAUGAUGAAGUGAAAAUGUCAAAGGUUCCUCUUUCCCUUCUUUCUCUCUGGUUUUUACCUUAUAUAAAGGGCUUGUAAUAAUGUAGACUAGAGUGUAGUGUAGAGAGUAGAGAGUGUGUGCAAAAAUCUAUGUUCAAGAGAGAUCGAGUUAGGGUUUUUAUGCUUUUUGCAGAAUGGUUUUUUGUAUUCCUAGACUGUUGAGCGAGAUUCACGGUGGUGACAUCCCGUGAAUGUCUCGGCAUCGCUCUUGCGAUAGCGUUUUUCUUGUAAUUUCCUUUUGUAGUCAACGUUGAUUGCUUCGCGGUUACUCUAUUUUGGUUUUAUUUUUUAUUUUAUGGAAUUUUAAUGCUUUCUUUAGUUCAAUCUUAAUUUUAGUUUGUUAAUUGCCUUCGAUAGUGGUAGAUGAAUCUUGUUUUGAUUUUUGAUGCCUUUAGAUACUUGAUUUCGUGCAUUUGAUAGUAUGAUUUGGUCUUAAUCUGUUUCAGCAUUUAGGUUUUAGAUGUUAAUUUCAAUUUUAUUGCAUACAUUGCUUUUCUGUUUCGGCAUUUAGGUUUUGUUAAAUUUUAGGUACUUUUCUGAUUUGAUGAGGUGUAUAAUCUGUUAAGGAGAGUUGUUGUUACACUGUCUUGAUUUGAAGUAGUUAGGGUAAAUGCUCUAAAUUUUUAUUGCAUUGAAUAUGAAUUAGGAUUUGUUUAUGCUGAAUUGGUUUCAUUAUGAACUUUGAAGAUGAAUUAGAGAUUAGGAGUAGCUUUUAAUUGCAUUUAAGUGAGGUUUUUGUUCCUGGUGAAAAACAUGAAUUCGAAUUGAACUUCUUGUAGUUUGGUAAAUUGAGUGGAUGUUACUCAUUUAAAGUUGAAAAUGAACUUAAAAACCCUAAAGUGGGCAUAUUUUAUAGGAUUCUCUGCAAAUUUGAUUCUGAGUUUUGAUUUUAACCAAUGAUUCUUUAUUUACCCAUUAGUUUUAGGUGUUUCUGUUGAGUUGGUUUUAAUUUUAGUUUGCAGUUCUUUUAUUUUCAAGUUUAAGAUUCCUAACGUCUUUGAUUUAUUCAUUUCCUUUUGAUAGUUUUGUUAAUUCAU
This 82524-nucleotide long non-coding RNA is filed under the name Vigna radiata. RNAcentral's name for it is "long non-coding RNA (VRAD_LNC015386)". The record is from RNAcentral. Lineage: Eukaryota; Viridiplantae; Streptophyta; Magnoliopsida; Fabales; Fabaceae.